Molecule: long non-coding RNA, 51905 nt
Filed under: Coffea arabica (coffee)
Lineage: Eukaryota; Viridiplantae; Streptophyta; Magnoliopsida; Gentianales; Rubiaceae
Description: long non-coding RNA (CARA_LNC001319)
Source: RNAcentral
UAAACCCCUUUAUGCAUUUAUACGGCUUAAUUUCCAUGAGGGGUAACUUCUGAUGGUGCUUGCCGAUAGAGAUGCAAGAAAAUAAGAAAGAAGAGAAUAGAGGAAAAUGUAUAGUUUGAUAUCGAGUUAUAAGGACUUACCAUUCUGUUAUUCCUGUAGCAAUUGUAGAAUAAAAUACCUUUUGUUUGUGAAGUGCUUUAACGGAUGUUAAUAUAUGGUGUAAUAUUUGUACUUCAGUGUCAGUUAAUUUCCUUCGUGUAUGGUUGACUUGACAAGGAAUCCAACGCGUGUUUUCUCAGGCUAGGCCUGUACCUGAUUGGGGAAAUUAAUCCCAUACACAUAUACUUCUCUGUUUUGUAGUUUCCGGUGAAAGCUCUGCAUUUUCUAGAUAGUUGAAUGUUUUCAGUUUUCUCGACUUUUCCCAUUCUUACAUAAUUACAUUUUCGGGAACAGAAUUGCACACUGAGAGCAGUAAAUUUGUGCGCGCAAAUGGUACUAUCAAGAUUAUGUACGUAGGUUAGCUGCUUGACUUUCAUUCCAACAUACAAAUUGUAGAAUUCUGCGGCGACAGCUUCACCUCUGCUCUUCUGGGCUUCCUCCACAUUACUUUACUCUUCAUCCCUCCAUCUGCUUUCCUGACACUUCUGGUGUCUCCUCCUCUGCUGUUCUCCAGCUCACUCUCCAUUAGACCAGAAGUGAGUAUCUGUUCUUGAUGGGCUGAAGUGAAUAUCAAAUGAAUGUAAUUUGCCUAAGCUCAAUCAACAGAAGUUAGAAGUCCCAAUAUCAUUGUCGGAUUUUUCAUUUAUUAGAGCAUCAACAUGGACGGUACCAAUAUCAUUGUCGUUCAGGUUUUUAUGCCAGGUAAAAAUGAGUUCUCCAACAGUCAAAGGGCUGGUCAACUGAAGUCUGAAGAUGCACUUGCCCGUCAUUUUCGUUCUUUUCCAUCUUAAAUCUCCUUCAUGAGCCACUGCUUCUUCGUCUUUUAGACUCACAUAUUUUGAUCUGAGUAGAUGGCUGAUGGACAAAAACUUUUGAAACAGGAUCAUCAGCCGAAAACAGGAUUAUGUUUUUUUUUCGGUAAGAAGUUAUCUGAGGAGGUAAUUGAUUAAACAAAGUAUGAAAAAAUUCCUCCAAAUCCUUAAAUGAAGCAACUCAUUAAGUCGUAACUUUACUCUUUAUGUGCUAAAAUCCUUAAAAAACCGUACAAUUUCUUGAAAAAGAUUAAAGAGAUCUGCAAACGAUUGCUUUUGUGGUAAAAUGCAAUGAGCUCUCCUGAUUUGAUUAUAAUCGCAACACCUAUGCACAAAAUCCAUAGAAUCACAAUGAGCUCCUGUGUAGUAUUUCUAAUUUCCUCGAUUACAUGUUUCGGCAUUGUCCCUUUUUUUUUCUUCUUCAACCUCGCUCAUGAUUGUAGAUUGACUAUAAUUCAACUCCUUUUUUAUUUAUAUUCCACUAAAAUUAAUUAAUACACCUAGGUUUGAUAGAUUUCUUGAUAGACUUGGUAAAAGUUUGAUUCACUUGUGUGAAUGUUUGGUGCGUAGGAGCACAACUUUCAUGUUCAUAAAUUGGUGGCUUGUGGGAUAUCUCAUUUGCAAGUCAAUCGGACGAGGAGGUAUAUUUUGAGUCAAACUCAAUUACUCUGGUUAAUAAGGCAUGGCAGACUGUUAAUGAAUGCAGAGAAGCAAAGGAGACAUUUGCACCUGGAUGGAAAGUGCACACUGCUGGAUUAGAAGAGAAUCAGAAAUACAGGCGUUGAGAGGUUGUGAAUGGAUAAGCAGAAUUUGGAAGCAGCUGGUACAUCCAGCAAAAUGGAGAGAAUUUAAAUCUAGAAGCUUGAUACAGUGGAUAGACUGGAAUGUCAACGCAAGAGUGAUGAGGGAUCAAGAAGAGGUGUACUGGCCAAUGCAAUUCCAACGAGUUGUAUACUGGGCAUGGACAGCAAGAAACGAUAUGGUCCACAGACAGGAAAAUGAAAGUGCAACCACACUUCCUGAGGCUACAGGCACUUGAAGCACAGGAGCUAAAUCAGAAGCAGGGAAUUCAAGGGUCGAAGGAAAUGAAGCAUAUUAAAUGUGAAAAGCCACUCAAGGAUGAGUGAAGCUGAAUGUGGAUGGUGCAUCAGUACAGAACCCCGGAGCUGCCAGUGCGGGAGGUUUAUUCAGAAAUGGACAGUGAAGAUGGAUGACAGGAUUCAGUGCGAAUAUUGGAAAGGCAAGCAACUUUGCUGCAGAACUUUGGGCAAUCCUAUUGGGUAUGCGGACUCUGCUGAGAGAAAGAUGUGAUAAAGUGAUCAUCCAUCAAACCAGAUUGACAAGUGGCAUUAUCACUGAUACAUGAGGCAAGGGGCGAUGGCCAAUAUCGGAAUCUGAUUGAGAAGAUUAGGAGCUUGCUGAAACAGGAGUUGGGAGUACAAGAUAGUUCGUGUUUGGCAUGAAGGGAACACGUGUGCAGAUUACUUAGCAAAUAUGGGGAGGAGUCUAGCUCCAGGGAUAAGUAAUCUAAGGGAACCUCCGCGCAACCUAAGAAGACUACUAGGUCAGGAUCUCUGCGGUAUAUCUUUACCUAGAUUAGUUUCUGUGUAAUGGGUCUAUGACCCUCCCUUGCACUGGAACCAAAAAAAGAACUCAAUUACUCAAACCUGUACAUUGCGGGAUCUUGUUAAAUAGAUUUCAGCAGGUCACUAGUCAAACAUAUUUACCAGUUGAAAAUAUGUGCUUGAGAAGAAUGGCCGGAAAUUUCUCCAAAUUUAAAAACGGAGAUUUUUGGUACUUUCUUUUUUAGGGGAUCUAUCUACGUACUUUAGUCAUUUAGCAACAGGUCAUUAUAGAAUACUGACUUCAACUACUAACUUUUGUAAUGAUAGUUUAUAUAACGAGCAAAGAUUUUGGAGAUUGGCUAGACCAGUACAAAGUAACUAAGAAAGCUGUACAAAUCACAUACAGCUUCAUCAGUUGCUUCAUCUCGUGGGGUUUGGUCCAAAUUCUGUUUGUUCAAAUGAUAUAACAAUUGAAAGUUUUCUCCUACAGGCGAGUCAUGCAUGCAUGAGAUGUCCUAUUGCAUGCUAUAAUAAAAUUAUCAUGAUUUACAUAGUAGCCUUAGAGAUUGAUAUUCAUAGAGGUAGGAAUACAAAAUGAAAGAUCAUUAAUCAUUAAUACAAUCAAAUUGAUCUUCUUCAAAAUAAUUUUUUUGUCGAAAAAGAAAAAUGGUUUCUAUGGUUGAAGCCAGCAAUUUACAGGCCUAUCCUUCGGUUUCACAGGUGGCAGUCAAGACUGCCCAAUGCAGGAAUGGUUUUUCUCGUCCUUAAUCCAUUGGACCAAAUUGCUGAAAUUCUUGCCUGAGCUCCCAUCAUUUUUAUUAUUAUCAAUAACCUUGGCUUCUAAAUCUAAGGCCCUCUUUUUUGUAUUCUCCACCAGUUAGAAGCUGCUCAAUCUUAUCCUUAAUUUCUUCUUGUGGAAUGAUUCGAUUUGCAUCUCUCGUUCAAAUCCUAAACCAAUCAUCCAAACGUCACAUAUGUAGCUCUCAUUAAGGAACUGAUCUGCAAAGUAGGGCCAACAGAGGAAAGGGACACCAUUGCUUAAACCUUCGACAGUAGAAUUCCAACCACAACGGCUGAGGAAGCAAGCCAACGAAGGAUGGCUCAAGACCUGUUGUUGAGGAGCCCAGCCUGUCAGCCUCCCACGGCCUUGCAUUCGAUCUUUGAAGCCUUCUGGAUAUGCAUUGUCUGUCUCGGUAGUUAAAUCUUGUCUCACAGCCCACAGGAAUGGCCUAUUGGUGAGUUCAAGCCCAAGCGCCAGCUCCCUGAAUUGUGUCGGAUCAAAAACUGUGAAGCUCCCUAAUGCAACAACAUAAAUGACAGAUUGCGGAGGCUGCUUAUUAAGCCAUGCCAGCAAUCUGAAUCUUCAGGCCAGAAGUAGCCAACCGAUUUUCCAAGUCGAUUACUUGCCAAAAGAGGGCCUACACGUAGUAGUUGAGGAAAUAAAGUGAAGGCUGCCGGCUCUAAUUCACAACUUGUAUUGCAGAACAGCCAAUCUGCCAGUUUAGCUGUUCUGAUUGAUUUUAACAAGGUAUCAAAAGCAAAAUUUUGUAAUGUGGGAUCACUAAAGCAGGUCCAAAGAAGAUGUUCAGGCUUCAUGUCUGGUGUGGUUGGUGCCAACUUUAUCAUCUGCUUCUUCAAUACGGCACCUGCACAAAAAAAGUCAUGUUAAAGCCUUUUCAAUUGAAUUAUAAAACAGCAUAACGUUUGCAGUGUGAUGACUAUAAAUAAUUUAUUUUCUUUCUCUAAUGGUGUUGGCAAGGAAUUAUCGGAAAUGAGUCAAUCUUACCAGUGCUACUUAUGAUUCCAUCAUCUAUGAGCUUCGGGAUGCUGAAUAUUUGUGUCAACUGUAAAGCUGACGCUGGCCAAAAGGCUACUGCCUUGAUUCUCAUUUUCUUUGCAACUUCUAGUGCCAAUCCCAUGGUCUUAUCAGCAAUAAUGCAUGUGAUUUUAUCACUGUCAGAUUGAUUUAUGCUCUUUAUUAGAGACUCUAGAUUCGCAGGCAUGACCUGGUAAACUGAUAGCGUCAAUUUCAUUACGUCAUUUCUGUCUAUUGGACUUGUAUGGGCCAGCUCAUUUGUGGGCAACCUAAAACACAAACCAUCAAGACUUGAGGGUUUCUCAAUUGAGACAGCCGCAAGAAAGCAAUUUGAUGAGAAGAAUUCCAGCCGCACAAUUUGCCAGAGAAACGAAGAGAGAGAAAGAGUGAGAGCUAGAGAGAGAAAAUUCUUUGUAACUUUGAAACCUCAGUUGGAAGGUGAUUUGAAAUCCGAUUGAGACGAAAUUUUAUACACACGAUCCUCUCGUCAAACUCUACUCAUCUACCCGUUCAGAUUUCAGAUUUUCUCUUCGUUUGGUAACACUUUUUAAACUCACUUCUUUGACAGUUAUAGUAUUUAGGGAUGAUUUUGCCGCAAUUUUGUUUUGUUGAUAUUGGUGAUAUUAUUGUCAUCCGAAUAUUUCAGAUAGACCUGUAUAUUUUCAUUAUUGUGAUAGUGAAGAUUUUGAUUGGACUAGAUCCCGUGAUUUUUUCUAAUUUGGGUUUUCCACUUAAAAAGUUUGGUGUCCUAUGCCUUUUAUUUUUUUUACAUUUUAUUAUCACUGUUGACAUUAUUACUUGGUGAUUUAAUUUAUUCCUAUUUUAACUAAUAUUUGGGAAAAGAGGAAUUUAUCCUGGACUUAUUCUGAUAUUAUGUGCUUGUACUGGUACCCCUUCCCCAACAAGUGGUAUCAGAGCAGUCGGGUUAGGCUGCUUAUUUGUACUGGUUAAAAAUGGAUGAUUCGGACAGUGGUUGCAUGAUAAAAUUGAAUGCUAUUAAUUAUUCGAUUUGGAAGUCUAGAAUGGAAGACUACCUGUAUUGUAGAGAUUUGUUUGAACCUGUUCUAGGGGAUAAAGGUAAACCAAAUGAUAUGAGUGAUGAAAAAUAAGCUGUUAUGCACAAAAAAACUGUUGAUAAUAUUAGAAAAUGAAUUGGUCAAAAUAUUUUUCAACAUAUUGCUAAUGACACCAGAUCUGAUAUAUUAUGAAAAAAACUUGAAAGUAUAUAUGAACGAAAGAUCGGUUUGAACAAGGCUAGUUGUCUGAAGCAGAUUACUCGAAUGAGAUAUAAAGAUGGGGAAGAUAUGACUGAACACCUGAGUAAUUUUCAGGGAUUGAUAACUAGGCAACUACGUUAAAUUUGGAUUUGGAUGAUGAAGUGCAGGCUCUAUUAUUAUUUAGUUCAUUACCGGAUAGUUGGAAACCAUGGUGGUCUCCAUCAGCAAUUCAACUUUGAAUGGUGUGUUGACCAUAGUUAUGUCAAAAGAGACCGUGAUGAAUGAAUAGUUCAGGAGGAAGGAACAAGCAAUUGCCUAUGAGUCCCAGGCCUUGGUGACAGAAAAGAAAGAAAGAAGAGAAAGAAGCAAAAGUAAAGAACCCCAAAACAAGAAUGACAAAUCCAGAUGCAGAUUUGGGUCACGAAAAAAUAUUGCAUGCUAUUAUUGUAAAAAGAAUGGGCAUUAUAUGAAGGAGUGCAGAAUCUUAAAACGGGAACAAGUUGAGAAAAAAGAUAAGGCGAAAGAAAAAGGUGAUGAAGAGACUACAACAAUUAUGGUAGCUCAUGAUGAUAUGUUUGUGUUCUGUGAUAAUGGUCAGACGAAUAUUAUUCAUUAUGACGGUGAUUCAUUAUGACAGUUGAUUCGAGUGCAUCCUAUCAUGUUACUGCUCACAGACAUCUCUUCUCAACCUACACCGAAGGAGAUUUUGGAUAUGUUAUGAUGAAAAAUGAGGUUUCAUGCAAAGUUGUUGGCAUAGGAGACAUAUAUUUGGAUACAGAUAUCAGGUGCCAACUGAUAUUAAGAAAUACUCAACAUGUUCAUGAUAUUCGUUUUAAUCUUAUUUCUACAGGAAAACUUGACGAUAAGGGUUAUCAUAACUUGCAAGGUGGAGGCAAAUGGAAACUCAGCAAAGGAAAUAUCGUUGUUGCUAGAGGAAAGAAGCAGAGUACCCUCUACUUGAUGCAAGCCAAGUUGGGAAAGAGAGAAGUGAAUACAGUUCGUGAUUCAUCAAUUGACCUUUAGCAUCGGCGACUUGGGCACAUGGGUGAAAAAGGGAUUCAAACACUUGUUCACAAACAACUGCUACCUGAAGUUAGAGGUAAUGCACUUAAACCUUGUGUUGACUGCAUUUAUGGGAAACAACAUAAAGUUGCAUUUCAAAAUUUUUCUCUAUCUAAAAAAUUGAAUCCCUUAAAAUUGGUGCACACUGAUGUUUGCUAUAUGAAAGAUAAGUCUCUUGGUGGUGCUGUUUAUUUUAUAACUUUUAUUGAUGACUUUGCUAGAAAGGUUUGGUAUUUUGUUUUGAAAUCCAAAGAUCAGGUUUUAGAUAUAUUUAAAGAUUUUUAUAGCAAAGUUGAAAGAGAAACUGACAAGCAGUUAAAGUGUAUUCGUGCUGAUAACGGUGGUGAGUACAGAGGACCAUUUGAAAUUUAUUGCAAGUCCCGUGGAAUUAGAUUGGAAAAGACUGUGCCAAAAAUUUCUCAAGAGAAUGGAGUAGUAAAGAGGAUAAAUAGAUCAAUCACUGAAUGGGUCAAAUGUAUGCUCUCUAAUACUAAGUUGCCAAAAUCCUUUUGGAGUGAAACAAUGAGGACUGCGGUCGAUUUGAUUAAUCUUUCUCCAUUAGUUCCUCUAGAUAGUGACAUCCCAGAGAGAGUAUGGACGGCAAAAGAUAUAUCUUUUAAACAUUUGAGAGUUUUUGGUUGGCGGACAUUUGUUCAUAUUCCUAAAGAUGAGAGGUCAAAACUUGAUGUAAAAAUCAAAGCAGUGUAUUUUCUUGGAUUAUGAACAUGAAGAUUUUGGUUAUAGAUUGUAUGAUCCUGUUGAAAAAAAGCUGAUCAGGAGUAGAAAUGUUGUCUUCUUUGAAGAUCAAACCAUUGAAGAUAUUGAUAAAGGUGACAACACAAAAUCUUCAAAUGACAUUCCUACUAUUUCAAAUUCAGAUCUUGAUCCAAUUCGAGUACCUAUUGAUUUUAAUUAAGGGGGAGCUGAGACGAAGCAGAGAAAGGAUGUUAAUCAUGGUGAUAAUCCUACUGCUGAUGAACCUAAGCAUGAAGCGCUACCUACUCCACUAGCGCCAACACAAGAUGAGUUUAGGAGAUCUACCAGAGAGAGAAGACCUUCUAGCAGAUAUAAUCCUAUGAAUAUGUGUUGUUAACAGAUGGAGGAGAGCCAGAGUCCUAUUGUGAGGUUUUUUAGAGUAUGAGAACAAAGAAAAUUGGUUGCGAGCCAUGUAAGAGGAAAUGGUAUCGUUACAUGAGAAUCAUACCUAUGACUUAGUGAAAUUGCCUAAGGGUAAGAGAGUUUUGAAGAACAAAUGGGUUUACAGGUUGACAACUCAGGAGCAUAGCUUAGAACCAAAGUACAAAGUAAGAUUGGUUGUGAAGGGAUUUAGUCAAAAGAAGGGUGUAGACUUUGAAGAAAUUUUCUCUCCUGUGGUAAAGAUGUCGUCAAUUCGAGUUGUUCUACGUAUUGCAGCCAGUUUAAAUUUGGAGAUCGAGCAACUUGAUAUGAAGACAACUUUCCUGCAUGGUGACUUGGAAGAGGAGAUUUACAUGGAACAAUCGAAAGGGUUCACAGAAAGUGGCAAGAAAAUCUUGUACGCCGUCUCAAGAAGAGCUUAUAUGGGUUGAAAUAGGCACCGAGACAAUGGUACAAGAAGUUUGAUUCCUUCAUGAUAAACCACGAGUACCACAAGAUUACAUUUGAUCACUGUGUUUAUGUGAAAAAUUUUUCAGAUGGUAAUUUUAUUAUUCUCUUAUUGUAUGUUAAUGAUAUGUUGAUUGUUGGCCGUGAUACGAUAAAGAUUGAUAGGCUGAAGAAGAAGUUAAGUAAAUCCUUUGCAAUGAAGGAUUUGGGUCCGGCUAGACAAAUAUUGGGGAUGAAAAUCUCACGAGACAGACAAAAUAGGAAACUUUGAUUGUCUCAAGAAAAGUAUAUUGAGAAAGUACUCAACAUGCUUAACAUAAGCAAAACUAAGAAACUCUCAACUCCACUUGCGGGUCACUUUAAAAUAAUUAUCAAGUAGUGUCCUACAAGUGAGAAAGAUAAAGAAGACAUGAAUAAGGUUUUCUUAUGCUUCGGCUAUUGGUAGUUUGAUAUAUGCUAUGGUUUGCACCAGACCAGAUAUUGCUCAUGCAGUUGGAGCAGUCAGUCGAUAUCUCUCUAAUCCUGGAAAGGAGCAUUGGAAUGCGCCGUCAAAUGGAUUCUCAGGUAUCUCAAGGGAACUUCUAGAUUGUGUCUAUGUUUCGGCAAUGGUAAAACUAUAUUAGAUGGGUACACCAAUGCAAAUAUGGCAAGUGAUCUUGACAAUAAGAAUUCCACAUCUGGGUACUUGAUGAUUUUUGUAAGGGGAGCAGUAUCAUGGCAAAGUAAGUUACAAAAAUAUAUCGCCCUUUCCAGUUCAGAGGCAGAGUAUAUCGUAACCACUGAAACAUGCAAGGAAACUCUUUGGUUGCAGAAAUUCCUUCAGUAGUUGGGUAUGAAGCAAGAGAAGUAUAACCUUUAUUGUAACAGUCAGAAUGCUAUUCAUUUGUGUAAGAACUCUACAUUUCACUCUCGGUCCAAACACAUUGAUGUGAGAUAUCAUUGGAUUAGGGAAGUAUUGGAUUCCAAGUUAUUGACACUUGAGAAGGUGCAUACAAAUGAUAAUGGUGCUGACAUGUUUACCAAGGAAUUGCCUAACGAGAAACUUUUAUUUUGCAGACAAGAAGCAGGUUUGGUAGAAUCCCCCAAAUGAGCUGGAGGGAGAGAUUAUUGGACUUGUGUGGGCCAGCCUAUUUGUGGGCCAACCUAAUACACAAACCAUCAAGACUUGAGGGUUUCUCAAGUGACGGAAUAUAUUGAGAUAGCCGUAAGAAAGCAAUUUGGUGAGAAGAAUUCUAGCUACACAAUUUGUGAGAGAAACGAAGAGAGAGAAAGAGUGAGACCAAGAGAGAGAAACUUUUUUGUAACUUUGAAGCCUCAGUUGGAAGGUGAUUUGAAAUCCGAUUGAGACAAAAUUUUAUAUACGUGACCCUCUCGUCAAACUCUACUCAUCUACCAUUCAGAUUUCAGAUUUUCUCUUCGUUUGGUAACACCUUUCUAAACUCACUUCUUUGACAGUUGUAGCUUUUAGGGGUGAUUUUGUAGCAAUUUUGUUUGGUUGAUAUUGGUGAUAUUAUUGUCAUCCGAAUAUUUCGGAUAGACCUGUGUAUUUUCAUUAUUGUGAUAGUGGAGAUUUUUUAUUGGACUAGGUUCCCUGAUUUUUUCCAAUUUGUGUUUUUCACGUAAAAAGUUUGGUGUCCUGUGCCUUUUAUUUUUCUUACAUUUUAUUAUCACUGCUGGCAUUAUUAUUUGGUGAUUUAAUUUAUUCUUAUUUUAACUAGUACUUGGGGAAAGAGUAAUUUAUCUUGGACUUACUCUGAUAUUGUGUGCUUGCACCGGUACUCCUUUCCGAACACUGUCCUCCCAUGAUUCCAAUCCAUCUGGGACUGACACCAGUUGCAUCAUAGCUGGUAUAUUGUCCUCCUACGAUAAUGAUUUGGUAACUCUCUUGUGAUUGAAUUCGGUGUUUACAAGCGUAACCCUAAUACCCUGCCUGACUAAGCACAAGGCCAGUUCCAUUAAGGGAAGUACAUGACCUUGUGCUGGAUAAGGAAUGGCUAGAACAUGUGGAUGAAGAUGAUUCAUGAUGUUCCUCUAAUGCAGAAAAUGUAGUAUAAGAACUUCCCUACUUGUCCCACCAUUUACAGACUACUAGGAAAAUGCACAUGCAUUGCACAUGUUGGUUAAUCAAUACUGAAACGAAACCUCUUUAUUUAGUCAUGAAUUAACAUUACUUAAUUUGCCUUAUGGAUAUAUAUAUAAUACUAUUAGGAGUUGUGAUUUAAAAUUGGAAAUAUUCAGUCAAUCAUUCACAUAUUUUAGAAUAGAUGUAUUAAAUAGUUAUUUUAUUCAAAGACAAAAGAGUUUUUUCCCUUGAAAUUCGGUUGUGAUAUGAGUUAAUUAAUACAUGUAGGGAUCGGUACACAGUUUAAGACAAUUUAGAGAUUACUUUUUGUUUAAAGAGAUAAAAACCUUGCAAAGGCCUUUUUUCUAUUUCUUCACAUAUGAACUAUUUCUUCUCACUUUGUUGAAUUACAACAAUUUUUGCAAUUUUAGGUUUUACAUUGAUUUUUUUAUACACAACUCCUUUGUCUAUCUCCCUCUAUAUCUUUGAUUAAGAAUAUCCUUUGCAUCUUCAUGUUAUUUGUCUCGUUUCAUUCUAGACCUUUUAUAUUAACUUAAGAUAAAGUUUUUAUGUCUCCUUAUUCUAGCUUUGUGUGGGAACAUGUACGUGAGUUCUGUUCAACAUGUGAUGAAUCUCUGGACCACUUAUAUUUCUUGCGUCCAUAUUCCAGGUAUGUGUGGGAACAUGUGCAACAAAAGUGUUUGGUUUACAAGCAGGCUCUUGAGUAGGAUAGUGAAUUGCAAUGGAUGAUCAUUGAUUGCUCUCAGCAGAACUUUGUUUCUCAAGUAAGAAGGAUCACAUUUGCAGCUACUGUGUAUCACUUGUGGUGGAGCAAGAAUCAACAGGUUCUUAAGAAAAUAUUGCAUUCUCCUGAGUGUAUGGUUCAUGUGAUUCUUAAGGAUGGCCGUGGUCUACUAAUAGGAUGGAAGAAUAUGAAUAGAAAGCAAGAAAAUUUACAACUAUGCAGUGAAUUUGAUAUUUCUUUACUUCAUUGAUGACAUUGUAGAGACUUGUAAUAUAGAUUAUAGGUUUCCUUUCUUGAUUUGAUUUAUUUGACUAAGGGACAAUCCCUUGUAUAGUGAUCUAUAUGCUUUGCAAUUCCAAAAUACACCCAAGAGAAGGUUAGGUUAGGUGAUAAGGUGGAUGGGAUUAUAAGUAGAAUGUUUUGAAUUCAAAAUCUCCCACUUAAAAAAAAUUAUCCAUUAUUUAUCUUAUCAAAUUACAAUAAUGAUAAGUAGCAUAUUUGUACACACACAAAUUAUUAGGUAUUCAGUCUUUGAAUGGCUAAAAUUAAGAGAGUAAGAGUUUUUACAUAAUUUUUCAGGUAUUCAACUUCUAAUUAAAUGGCCAACUGGUUUGAAAAAUAUAGUCUUCAUAUGCUUGCGCUUUGGUAUGUAUAAUGAUCCUUAUCAUACAAUAUUUUGUUGAAUAAUUCAAAAGAAAAAGAGAAGAUUCCUUCAGAACAUUAUGAAAAACAAGAAGUAAAUUUGGAUCAUAUAAAUGCACAAUCAAAUCUACAAAGCAGGGAGCAAAUUAUCCAGAAGGCUACUAAAUUCUUGGAAUUGUUGAGUUUUGAUCACUGAACGAUUAAAAGUUUGAUUUUGACCACUGAACUAUUUAAAGUUUAGAUUCUAGGCCAUUUUAUCGGAUUUAAUCAUUAACUAUGCUGAUUUUUUUUUGUCUCGUGAAUCACGCGUGCACUCAGAUCUAGCAUAGUUAACGAUUAAAUCUGACGAAAUAGCUUGAAAUCUAAACUUUAGGUAGUCCAAUGGCCAAAACCAGAUUUUUAAUAGUCCAGAAGUCAAAACUCAAUGAUUCCAAAAAUUUAGUAGCCAUGCUGAUAAUUUUCUCCAAUCCGAAUCUUCAAGCUAGAAGGAGCCAACCGAUUUUCCAAGUCCCUUACUUGCCAAAAGAGGGCCUCCAGGUAGUAUUUGAGCAAAUAAAGUGAAGGCUGCCGCCUCUAAUUCACAACUCGUAUUGCAAUCAACUAAUCUGCCAGUUUAACUGUUAUGUUAAUUUUAACAAGGUAUCAAAAGCAAAAUUUUGUAAUGUGGGAUCACUAAAGCAGGUCAAAAGAAGAUGUUCAGGCUUCAUCUCUGGAAUGGUAGGUGACAACGUUACCAUCUGGCUCUUCAACACAGUACUGGCUGCACUAAAAAGCUUGACAUGUUUAGAACCUUUUCAACUGCAUACAAAAUAGCAAAAUGUAGAACUGAUAGUAAUAAUACGUGCUAUGAUGAUUAGCAGUUUGAUGACUACAAAUAAUUUAUCUUCUUUCUCUAAUGGUGCUGGAAAGGAAUUAUCUUAAAUGAGUCAAUCUUACUAGUGCUACUUAUGAUUCUAUUAUCUAUGAGCUUUAGGAUGCUCAUAGAUAUACUAGACGUGUUGUAUUCAUCAUUGUCCAAUGUGGGAGUGCCACCUCAACAACUGAUACUUGUAAUGAUUGAUGAAUAUAAGUGUUCUGCCUCGAGUCAUGAGACUCAUGACCGGUUUUUGCAGAUGCAUAACCGGCAACAUUUGUAUUAAAAAAUGAGAGAAGUGGGGCCCGGAUUUGAGAAUCAAAAGAGCAUAUUCUUGUAUUUAACCGUGCACAUCACAAAAAUUCAUGGUCUUCCCAACAAAACUGUAUCAUACAAAAUUCAAUUUUUUUUGACAAAAAUCAAUUCUAGUUCUACCAUAAUUCAAUUUUCCGAGGAUUGGUUUCAAAGUUUGUUGUCCAAGUUGCAUUCAAUGCUUUCACCAACAGUAACUGAAGCGUUUGGAAAUAAGUUAUAAAAAAUUUAAUGAAUUGAAAAGGUUGUUGGAAAUAAUAAAUGGCAUUACUUUAAACCUAUACUACAAAUUCUUCAAGAACGCCAGGAAAGGAUCCACUACAAUGCGUAUGGAAGAAAAGUAGUAGAAAAUCAACAAAGAAAACCUCUAAUUGUAAACGUCAAAGAGCGCUAGGAAAUGAUCCACCACAAUGCAUAUGGAAGAAAAGUGGCAGAAAAUCAACGAAGAAAACCUCCCAAAGUUGAAAAGAAGGUAAAUAAUAUUUAUUAAAUUUUGAUAAAGACCAUUGACAGGUGCCGAACCUGUGCAAUAAUAAUUACUAAAAAUCCUAAUUACCACCACAAUUAAUUAUAGAACAAAUCCAAGUACUGGAGCAGGGACCCUAGGUGUGCAAUGGGUUACUUGAUUCACCCUGUUUCCGAAGAGUUUGCUUGAUCCGAUAUACCAGAUUAGUCUAUAAAAAUAUUAAUUUUGUGUACAAUGGCAAGUAGGGCCGAUUCCACAGGGAGCGGGUAGGAAAUUAUUUCUUUCCAAAUUAGUAGAACGAAAAUGGGGGAUUUUCAAUGGGAGGCAAAUAAAAAUGAAAUUAAACCAAUAAAAUUCAAAACUAACUCACAAAGCACAAUUCACUAAAAAUAGCAAUUAAUAAAAUUUCACCCAAAGGAUCAACUGCUCAGGCAUGGUCCAAUUAAAUACUCAUCGAUGCAAAGGUAUUUCAUCCAUUCAUCACCAGAUUGGUUAUAGUUAUCAACAAACUCUGACAACCAGUCUUCCUUACUUUUUCGACAGUCAAGGUACGACCAUUGACUGCUUCUCUAACCAGAUAACAACCCUAGGUACGACCGUAGGAAUUUAAUUACCCAAUUGCAUUAAAGCUAGAAGAACCCAACCCUAACCAAUAAACAUGCUAAGAGGGUUUAUUUAAAUCAGAUCUUGCGUUUUCCCAUCAUAGAACCAAUUAUGGUGGUUGCCACGAGGUGUUAAUUAAAUGAACAAUUACGGAUUCUAUUUAAUUAACGUGGCAGUAGACUAUUAAAUUAAAUCAAAUACCCGGCUGUUGAUAUUCAAUUAAUAAAAUACCCAUGAACAAUUAAUUCAGGAAACGCACGAAUAGCAAUAAAUUGGAAGAAAUAAUGAAAAUUUGAUUAGAUCUCACAAAUAUUAUGGACCGCGCCUUCGCGUCAACCUUUGGGUAGAGGAGAAAAUUAGCCGCUCCUCAUCGUGUCAAUCCCACGUGAUUUAAAUGAAGUCAUUCAAUUAUUCGCCGAAGAAUUGGGGAAUGGGGAAUUAAUUGCAGUAACAACAGAGAAGGCCCUGCCUUCAUCUUUGAUCCGGAGCCACAAGUGUACGAACAAAAGCUAACGUAAAUUGUGCAGAGUCAAAACAAAAGCCAAGGAGUCAAAGUGUCACAACCGAAAAGUUACAAAAGUCUGCAAUUGCCUGACCCUCUCGAAAAGAAAAUCAAAGCUAAUCUAUUCUUCUCUGCAGUUGCUGCCGAAGAAGAAAACAAAAAGCCAAGAAAUGUGUCUGACCCAAAAUUGCAGAAAAGUAAAACUAAGCUUAAAGUAGUGAUAAUCCUUGAAUCCUGCUUUUUCCUCCUUUUUAUAGCCGCCGCCCAAGAGAAGUAAAGAAAAAUACGUCUGGAGCAAUUCAUCUAACAAAAGCUAUCCCCUUUGGAGUUUUGAUCCCACGCUUCGGGUUCACGUGGACCGGGGUCCGGCUUUUCGGUAACGCCUACCUUUUAAGGCGUGGCCACGCUCUGAGACGAAGGGUCUUCUAGAAAUUUGCCUCCAGAGAUCAUUUUUAAUGCCGACCACCUUUAAUUCGUACAAAUAUGAAAUAUAAGUUAAACCUCAGUACUUAGCACAGUAAUAGCCAAAAUUAGGACAAAAUAAUACUGCAAAACGUGCCAAAUAACGGCUCUAUCAAAUCCCCCCACACCUAGACAAUGCUUGUCCUCAAACAUUUCGGAGCUUAGAAGUACAACCAAGAGAGCAGAGGUUAUGGAAUAGUCUAUACUAACACAAGCAUCUAAGGUCCCUGACAAUAUCGCCGAGAUUAGAACACACCGGACAAGUUGUAAUUCAAAGAAGAUAUGUAAUACUAGGAACUCUCAAAUCAACAUCGCGGAAUGCCAUUACCAUAGGCUUGCACAUUUGUCACAUCUCCACCACUCAAAAGUGAACUAAAUACAUAAAUCAAAAGGACUUUGAUAAGGUUGUAAUGGGGCUUAGGUAAAAAGCAGGAUAGGAAAGUAUAGAGAGGGGGUAAUAUGUUAAGAGACUGUCCGAAUCCCACCAUAUAACCACAGUGCUUUACCGGAGGAGUUUCACAAACAAGGCGGUUUUCAUUUGCUGUACACACUGAGCAAGUGCCCUUUUUUUUUUUUUUUGCAAGGAAGCAUAUCUUGCAAGGCGUGGGCACGCCCUGCAAGCCAAAGUCGCCUGAUCACUCCCUUCGUUUUUUUUUUUAGGGAGAAUGCCUUGCAAGACGUGGGCACGCCCUAUAAGACAGUCUUCUGAUCAAUGGCUUUUUGUCAAUUUCUCCCCCUUUCACAAGGGUACCAUCAUACAGAUCCUACUCUAACAACCCUUGCACCCCCAGAUCUGUUUGCUUUGCACAAAUGAUGGAAUUCAGACAUCCCUUGACAACACAGGGGUAAACAAGAAAGUUUAAAGAGGUCUCGGGUUAACAAAAACGGAUAACAACCAAAAGCGAAGGAUAAAAGUUCAAAUUAGUUCACUAUUGGGAAACAAGGUGAAUGCAUGAUUUUCUUUCGAAAGCUCAAAAGGUCAAAUCCUAAAUGCCCUUAUCAUUUUAAAUGCAUCUAGUUCAACAGAAUGUGGUCUUGACAUGUACAAAAUAGCAAGUUCUAGAAUGUUCAUACCAUGUGCGAUACCCACUCAAUCAAACAAAAUAGAGCAAACAAGAAUAAUAUGCUCAAGCAAGGCUCAAAAGCUCCCCAAAAGUUACAAGAAUGGGUCAAUUCCAGCAUAUUCAACAUUCAAUGACAUUGCCAAGGGAAACAAAAUGCACAACUAGCAUAUUUGACCACACACCCACUCACUUUGAUUGUGUCAUUCAUCACAGCAACAUGCCCCAACACUAACAAGCAUAGAAAUAAACCAAAAAGCCGACUAACUACAAUGUUUUUCACUUUUUGUUUCCAUUCAUCCCAUGUUGUUUUUUUUUUUGAGUAAUCAAAGCAAAAAGAACUAAUGAAAAAGAGAGAGAACUAAUGGAAGCCACUCCCCCCACACCUAAGACCUACAUUGUUCUCAAUGUAGAAGAGACAAAUAAAGUAUUAGGAGGAAAGAAGAGAAACUUCCCUGACCACCGGGGAGGAAAAAUGAGAUACUAAGGCGGAGGGGGGUGAGGCGGGGUGAAUCCAAUGUGAGCGAAGAAGGCCGCCUGAUUCUCUGCCUGAAUGCGGGCGAAGACCUGGAGUGCCAUAAGACGGCCAUCUAUUCUCGACACCUGGGUGUUGAGCUCAUCAAAAGAAUCCUGGAGGUCCUGGUAGCGGGGGUCCCCAGCAGGAGGAGUAUGAGAGGAGGACGGACCCGCCGGAUCCGAAUGGGGUGGAGAGUCAGUGGAGGGUGCAGUGGUGGGCACCCGAGGCUGUGGCCCGUCCUCACCAGGGGGCGUAAACUGAUAGACAUCGCCCACUUUGAAAAUAACCCCCAUCCGCUCCAAACUGCGCAAAUCCAGUGGCUCAAUCUCUCGAGUUAGGGCAAAGUUGUGCUCCUUGUCGAGGUCUAGCAAGCCCAAUCGAAUGGCCAAGUGGGUAAUGAGGGAGCCCAAAAUGAUCGAUUUAUUUCGCUUUUGAAUGACUGAUUCCAUUUGAGUGGCUACCCAACAUCCAAAAUUAACCUUAACAUUGUUGCGCAUGCAUCAAAGGAAGUAGAAUUCUGCUUUGGUAAGGGUGCCGGAGGAAUCUUUCCACCCCGAGAAAUUGUGAGCCAAGAACCUGUGAAUGACCUUCAAGACCGGAUCCUUCAGUUGAGAGGCCUUGGACUGACUCGGAUUAUAAAUUUGCCGAUCCGUGGACCACUCUCUCCAUAUGUCGAUGUACUCAGUCUUGAACGGUCUAGUGUAGUCACAAGCACUAUUAAUAUAAGCUCCGGAUGCAAUGGUAUCGUCACUGACAAACCCCAAAGUCAGAUUAAACUGAUUAAUGGACAUACUAUACUGAGUGCCUUUUAAUCUGAACUGAAUAAUCUCUGGCUCAUCCAAUGUGAUGUAGUCAUUUCUGAUGAACUUGAAAGAGGAGUAGAAUUCACAACACAGCUCCUCAAACGUGGGGUAGUUAAUGAUGAGAUACUUUUGCCAGUCGAUUGCCGAGAACAACUGUUCAACCUCUCGUGCAAUUCGCAAAUGGUCCAAGGUUGGGGCAUGAAAGCACUUACAAGGAGUAAAAGGACGGUGCACCAAGUUGUUAAACCGGUCCUGUUGGGCCCUUGUAAGAUUAGUGACCGGUUCCCCCCACUCCCCAGGGGACAUGGUACUCUUAUUCAGGCCCAAACGGGACCGAAUGGUGGGUUGAACCGGGGCUCGUCUCUUACGAGGUUGGGACCCAGACGGCCCAGCAGUUGUCUUCUUAGGAGGCAUUCGGAGACCACAUGAAGAAUAAAUCAGCUCAGAGACAGCCAAUCAACCACCAAGAAACAGAUAGGGGACCACGGCCAACAAAAAUUACUGAAUAUUCCGCAGCUCAACAGCAAAGGGGGACACAAUUACCCCAUCAAACAACAACCAGACAACAAACACCAACCAAUGCCCCAAUGCCGUCAAUUAGCCGACAACAAUAAAGAGGACCAAUCCAACUCCCCUCAAAUCAAGAUAUCAGUCAAUAAAAGGCAACAAUCAGCGAGCUACCGACCACGUGUAACAAAUAAUAAAUUCACCAGAGCCCACAGAUGUCUCAAGUAUAUAAUCAAUCCCAGGCAGAUAGGCGGACUCACACUUGCAGACAACAAUUAAAUGGUCCCCCAAAAACAAGCAAUUAUGUGUCAACCCAACACGAGUAGAAAUUCAGCAAUAAGAAAUCUCAUAUCUUGGUCACAUAUAGCAACCGACCCCCAAUUCAAAAACUAGUAGCAACAAUCGAAUAUGAUAAAUGUACCACUUUCUGCCCACAACGGAGGAGAAGGACAAACGGCAGGGGGGCUAGUGGUGGAGUGACGGCGCGGCUGCGAGGGGGGUUGCGCGCUGCAGGAGCAACUGACCACGCGCGAGAAGGGUUGUGGCCAGCUGGGCGCGAUGGGCGCACUGGCUGCGCGCAGGGGCGUGCUCCGGGCUGGUGCUGGUCGCGCGGCUGAGGGAGGCUGGCGCGUUGGGGUCGCGUGAGGCAGGCGCGGCCGCUUGGGCAGGUCUAACACACGCGAGCGGAUGGCCUGCCCGACGCUCGCGCGAGCGGUGUGAGCGCGGAUCUGAUGCCGCACUGGCUGACGAAGCUCGAGGAGGGAGGAGUGGGCGCGCACGCGCGCUGGGGCUUGAGCUGGAGGCGCGAUGUGCAGGGCUGCGUGCUGCAGGACACUUGCAGAUCUGCUGCUGGGCUGCACGCAGGCUGCCAGGAGGAGCAGGCGAGCGGGGGCUGAUGGCCUGACCUGGGCGCAGAGAAGCGGAUUGUCGCGCGCGCGCGCGCGAACAACAGCGGACUGCGGACGGCGGCGGCGGCGGCUUGACCAAAACAGGAAGAAGAAGUUGUUGCAGCGUAGCCAAAAGAAAUUUGGAGGAAAGAGGCCAAGACUAGUCAAAGAAGAAGGAAAAGUGGAAGAAGUAGGGUCUUGGUCAAAAAAAUUUUUUUUUUUUUUGGCUUUCGCUAUCGGAAGGGUUGGAAGGCGUGGGCACGCCUUGAAACCCCUAUUCUUCUGUCCAUCACCACAAAAACAAUCAAAACAUUAAAAUAAAAUUGAAAAAUUGCAGAGUAAUGAAAAAUGAUCACAAUUAAUACUGAAAUCCUUGGGUUACCUCCCAAGCAGCGCCUUCCUUUAACGUCUUUGGCUAGACAUGGCCUUCAACUGUUUAGACUUCACCACUUGGAUUAUCAAGGAAUAGAACCUCCACUUGCUCACUAUUAAACCCUUCAUAAUUGGGUUUCAAACGAUGACCAUUGACCACGAACUUCUUCUCCGUCUUCAGACUUUGGAUUUCCAUUGCACCAUAAUGAAAAAUAUUAGAAACAACAAAUGGACCAAUCCAACGGGAAUGCAACUUACUAGGAAAAAACUUAAGUCUCGAGUGAUAAAGUAGGACUUUUUGCCCUACGACAAACGAUUUUCUCGACACUUGUUAGUCAUGAAAAAUUUUGCUCUUCUCCUUAUAUAUUGCAGCGUUCUCAUAGGUUUCAUUCCUUAGCUCCUCCAACUCUUGUAAUUGGAGCCUCCUAUUUCCUUCGGCCUCUAUAAGGUCCAUAUUACACCGCUUAAGCGCCCAGAAUGCUCUGUGUUCAAAUUCCACCGGAAGGUGGCAAGGCUUCCCAAAAACUAACCUAUAUGGGGACAUCCCAAUUGGUGUCUUAUAUGCAGUGCAGUAGGCCUAGAGAGCAUCGUCCAAUCUCAGACUCCAAUCUUUCCUAUCAGGCCGCACCAUCUUUUCUAGAAUAAACUUGACCUCCCUAUUCGACACUUCGGCCUGCCCAUUCGUCUGUGGAUGAUAUGGAGUGGACACUUUAUGGAGCACACCAUACUUACGAAACAAUGCAGUGAUUGUCUUAUUGCAGAAAUGGGUGCCCCUCUCACUCACUAUAGUUCUCGGCAUUCCAAAACGGACAAAAAUGUUAGAUCUUAUAAAAUCUGCAACCACUCUAGAAUCAUUAGUCCGGGUGGCUUUUGCCUCCACCCAUUUGGAAACAUAGUCAACAGCAAGUAUAAUGUACAAGAAACCAAAAAACGAGGGGAAGGGACCAUGAAAUCUAUACCACAAAUAUCAAAAAUCUCAACAAAUAAUAUGGGAGUUUGACUCAUUUGGUCUCUACGAGAGAGAUUCCCCACCCUUUGACACUUAUCACAAGAUUUGUAGAAUAAAUAUGCAUCCUUAAAGAGAGUAGGCCAAUAAAAACCACUUUCUAACACCUUACGAGCUGUCCGCUUUGGACCAAAAUGCCCUCCACAUGCAAACGAAUGACAGAAAGUCAAAAUAGAAUAAAACUUACCUGCACUUACACACCUUCUUAUCACUUGGUCCGAGCAUUGCCUCCACAAGUAGGGGUCAUCCCAAAUAUAGUGCUUAGCGUCACUUUUUAACUUAUCUCUUCUAACCUUUGGCCAACCUGCAGGUAAUUGAUUCGUGACAAAAAAAUUGACAAUGUCAGCAUACCAAGGUAUCCGACGAAUCAAUGACUAGUAGUUGCUCCUCAGGAAAUGAUUCUCUCAACGGCAGAUCCUCUUGAUUUGCGAGCAACAGGCUCAAAUGAUUAGCCACCAAAUUCUCGGCUCCGCUCUUGUCCUUGAUCUCUAGAUCGAAUUCCUGCAGGAGCAAGAUCCACCUGAUCAGCCUCGAUUUUGCAUCCUUCUUCGCCAGCAAGUAUCUCAAAGCUGCAUGAUCAGAGAAAACAAUUACUUUUGCACCCAAUAAAUAUGACCUAAAUUUUUCUAGUGCAAAAACAACAGCUAGUAAUUCUUUCUCCGUCGUGGGGUAAUUAAGUUGGGUUCUACUUAAUGCUCUCGACGCGUAGUAGAUCGCGUGUGGCGCAUUUCCAAUUCUUUGCCCCAAAACGGCCCCCACAGCAUAGUCAUUCGUGUCGCACAUGAUUUCAAACGGAAGGCUCCAAUUUGGGGGUUGAAUGACAGGCGGCGAUGUCAACGACUCCUUCAAUUUAUCAAAAGUCACCUUACAUUCAUUUGUGAAAUCAAAUGGCACGUCCUUCUGCAGUAACUUGAACAAGGGUGCUCCUAUUUUUGAAAAGUCUUUGAUAAAUCUCCUGUAAAAACCUGCAUGGUCAAAAAACGAACGCACUUUCCGUACACAUACGGGGUAAGGUAGAGCAGAAAUAAGGUCUAUUUUAGCUUUAUCUAUCUCUAUUCCCUUAGCCGACACAACGUGCCCUAAGACAAUACCAUGAUCUACCAUAAAGUGACACUUCUCCCAGUUGAGCACCAAAUUCGUCUGUAUACAUCUUUUCAGAAUUAAAGCCAAAUUCUCAAGGCAUUCAUCAAAACUGUCCCCGUACACACUAAAAUCAUCCAUGAACAUCUCAAUUAUUUUUUUCAUAUAUUCUGAGAAAAUACUUACCAUGCACCUUUGAAACGUUGCUGGAGCAUUGCAGAGACCGAAAGGCGUCCUGCAAUAAGCGAAUGUACCGAACGGACAUGUGAAUGUAGUCUUUUCCUGGUCUUCUGGUACUAUCGCGAUCUGAAAGUACCCUGAAAAUCCAUCCAAGAAACAAUAGUAAACAUGACCCACCAAUCGUUCAACCAUCUGAUCAAUAAAAGGGAGGGAAAAAUGGUUCUUUUUAAUCACAGAAUUUAGCCUCCGGUAGUCGAUGCACUGACGCCAGCCAGUAGCUUUCCUGACCGGGACCAUAUCACCCUCCUGGUUCUCCUCUACGGUCACUCCCGCCUUCUUCGGGACCACUUGGACAGGACUCACCCACGGACUAUCCGAGAUAGCAAAAAUGAUCCCCACCUCUAGGAGCUUGAGUAUCUCCUUUUUCACAACUUCCAUCAUCAGGGGGUUCAAUCUUCGCUGUGCUUGCCUCACUGGAUUUGCAUCAUCCUCGAGUCUUAUCCGGUGCAUGCAUAAGGACGGGUUGAUCCCUUUAAUAUCGGCUAUGCUCCACCCAAUUGCCUCCUUAUGCUCCCUAAGGAUUCGCACCAGUUUGUCCUCUUAACUUGGAGAUAGGUGUGCAGAAAUGAUCACCGAAAGUGUCUCCCGAUCUCCUAGGAAUGCAUACUUUAGAUGCUUCGGGAGAGGUUUUAAUUCUAAUUCCGAUGCCUGCACAACUGAAUGAAGUAACUUUGUCUGAGCUUCUGGCACAAAAAGAGAAGUCUGCUCAUACCUUGGGGAUACAGGUGGAAGUGAGUGUAAGGCUUCAACAGCAUGGAGUAAAUCUUCCCUUAGGUCCACAUCAAGAGUUACACCCAACUCCAGAUGCUUGAUUAGAGCCACUUCCAAUGCGUCUUUACCAUCUAACUCGAAAGUUUCCUGCACAAAAGGCUCAAUAACGCUCAAAACAAAGACCGAGUUAGGUUCUUCUGGAUAUUUCAUCGCCUCAAAAAUAUUAAAAUUCACAGUUUCACCAUCAAAUUCCAUUGACAAAAUACCCUCAUUCACAUCUAUCUUAGUCCUGGCAGUGCUAAGGAACGGUCUACCUAACAAGAUAGGUGACGGGUUUAAUGAUUUUUCAUCUCCCAUGUCCAAAAUAUAAAAAUCUGCAGGAAAGACUAAUUCAUUUACCUGAACCAGAACAUCCUCAACUAGCCCCUCUGGAUAAGCAUUUGUGCGAUCAACUAGUUGGAUUAUGAUGGCUGUUUCCUUAAGUGGCCCAAGAUUUAGAGAAGUAAAAAUGGUUUUUGGCAUCACAUUGAUUGACGCUCCUAAAUCCAACAUUGCAUUUCUAAUUGGUGUAUUUCCUAUUUUGCACGGGAUCGUGAACAUACCUGGAUCUCUACACUUGGGUGGGAGCUUCCUUUGGAGCAUGGCUGAUACAUUCUCUCCCACCGCUACUCUUUCGUCCCCUCUCAAUUUCCUUUUAUGGGUGCAUAGAUCUUUGAAAAAUUUCGCGUACUUCGGCACCUGCUUAAUUGCUUCCAACAAGGGGAUGUUGAUCUCCACUUUUCUGAACACGUCCAGGAUCUCUUUCUCCUUCUCUGCCUUCUUCUUCUUCGCCAAUCUGCAUGGAAAAGGGGGUAAAGUAGAUUUAACGGGUAAUGAUGGUGUAAGCGUUACCUCAGGACCUCCACGAAUGUGUCCUUCUUCCUCUAUCUCCUUCUCAAUCUUGUCUUCGCUUUUACUUUUCAAGUCCGUGACCUUUGGCCCCUCCACUUCCUUGCCACUCCUUAAUGUCAUGGCACUUACAUUUCUGAAAUUUACCUCAGGUUGCGAUGGCAAUUUCCCAUAAACGUGGGACUCCAGGCGAUUUAUGGCGGUUGCCAUUUGGCUCAUGCGAGUCUUCAUGUCUUUCAUGCCUGCCUUGGUGUCCUGUUGGAAUUGGGUGGCGCUCGCGACUAAGGUCCUAGUCUCCUGCUGGAGCUGAGUGGUAGCAGUGGCCAAACUCUUGACAAUCUCCUCCAAAGAACUUCCUAAAUUUGAGGACGAGGGUUGGGACUUCUGUUGCCAAGGUUGCUGAAAUCCUGGUGGACGAUUGGAGAAUGCAUUUUGUGGCCUAUUACCAUAGCUGAAAUUGGAGUGAUCUCUCCAACCCGAAUUGUAUGUGUUGGAGUAUGGAUCGUACUGCCUACGAGGCGCGGGUACACCUCCAGCCAUGUUCACUUGUUCAGCCCCAUCCUCUUGCAACAUAGGGCAUGAGUCAGUAUGGUGACUCAUAUUUGUGCAGAUUCCACAGGCCUUUACUUGGGGCACAUUUCCCACCACUAAUUGUCGAACAACGGAUGUUAAUUCCGACAAUUGUUGCUGAAUAGAUGUCGACUCCACCUCAUUAACCCUACGGGUAGGGUUACUCUUACGGAAGCCAAACUGUUGAGAAUUCUCUAUCAUAACUUCAAUGAGCAGCCAUGCUUCCCUCGGGGUCUUAUUUGCCAGUGCUCCCCCACUCGCAGCGUCGAUGAUACUCCUAUCAGUUGAUUGGAGUCCUUCAUAGAAGUAUUGGAUUAACAGUUGUUCACUAAUUUGAUGCUGCGGGCAUCUAAUGCACAACUUGUUAAACCUUACCGAAUAGUCAUACAAGGAUUCCCCGGGAUACUGUUUAAUGCUGCAGAUUUUCUUCCUCAAACUCGCAACCCGGGAUGCAGGGAAGAAUUUUUCCAAAAACUUCUUUUUCAACUGUGCCCAUGUGGUAAUACUACCUGCUGGUAGGUAGUACAGCCAAUCUUUAGCUGCAUUCUUGAGAGAGAACGGAAAGGCUCUCAGUCUAAUUUGCUCUUCAGUGACCCCAGGAGGUUUUAUACUAGAGCAAACCACCUCGAACUCCUUGACGUGCUUGUGGGGUUCUUCGUCAGAGAGACCAUGGAAAAAAGGUAGGAGGUGAAUCAACUCCGACUUCAGUUCGAAAGCAGUAUUCUCAGUCAGAGUGAGGAAUGUGAUGCAUAAGGGCUGGUGAGUCGGUUUCGGGGCGGCCAGCUCCCUUAAUGUUUGAGUGUUGGUCAUGCUUAUUUCAUCUUCUACCGACUCGUUUGCAAUAAAUAAGUGCCCUUCUUUUCGCCUCUUGGUCUCUUGCCUCCGCCUAUGCGCUACCUUCUCAACCUCAAGAUCGUAUACCAAUUCACCUGUGCGAGAAGAACGGGGCAUAAACUAGCAAAAAUACCAAGAAGAAUAGAAUAAAAUAAAAAAUUGAAUUUGAAAAGAAACAAAUAAUCCAAACGCCAGCUCCCCGGCAACGGCGCCAAAAAUUGACAUGUGCCGAACCUGUGCAAUAAUAAUUAUUAAAAAGUCUUAAUUACCACCACAAUUAAUUAUAGAACAAAUUCAAGUAGUGGAGCAGAGACCCUAGGUGUGCAAUGGGUUACUUGAUUCACCAUAUUCCCGAAGAGUUUGCUUGAUCCGAUAUACCAGAUUAGUCUAUAAAAAUAUUAAUUUUGUGAACAAUGGCAAGUAGGGUCGAUUCCACAGGGAGCGGGUAGGAAAUUAUUUCUUUCCAAAUUAGUAGAACGAAAAUGGGGGAUUUUCAAUGAGAGGCAAAUAAAAAUGAAAUAAAACCAACAAAAUUCAAAACUAAUUCACAAAACACAAUUCACUAAAAGUAGCAAUUAAUAAAAUUCCACCCAAAGGAUCAACUGGUCAGGCACGGUCCAAUUAAAUGCUCAUCGAUGCAAAGGUAUUUCAUCCAUUCAUCACCAGAUUGGUUAUAGCUGUCAACAAGCUCUGACAACCAGUUCUUCCUUACUUUUUCGACAGUCAAGGUACGACCAUUGACUGCUUCUCUAACCAGAUAACAACCCUAAGUACGACCGUAGGAAUUUAAUUACCCAAUUGCAUUAAAACUAGAAGAACCCAACCCUAACCAAUAAACACGCUAAGAGGGUUUAUUUAAAUCAGAUCUUGCGUUUUCCUAUCAUAAAACCAAUUAUGGUGGUUGCCACGAGGUGUUAACUAAAUGAACAAUUACGGAUUCUAUUUAAUUAACGUGGCAGUAGGCUAUUAAAUUAAAUCAAAUACCCGACCGUUGAUAUUCAAUUAAUAAAAUACCCAUGAACAAUUAAUUCAGGAAACGCAUGAAUAGCAAUAAAUUGGAAGAAAUAAUGAAAAUUCGAUUAGAUCUUACAAAUAUUAUGGACCGUGCCUUCGCGUCAACCUUUGGGUGGAGGAGAAAAUUAGCCGCUCCUCAUCGUGUCAAUCCUGCAUGAUUUAAUUGAAGUCAUUCAAUUAUUCGCCGAAGAAUUGGGGAAUGGGGAAUUAAUUGCAGUAACAACAGAGAAGGCCCUGCCUUCGUCUUUGAUCCGGAGCCGCAAGUGUACGAACAAAAGCUAACGUAAAUUGUGCAGAGUCAAAACAAAAGCCAAGGAGUCAAAGUGUCACAACCGAAAAGUUACAAAAGUCUGCAAUUGCCUGACCCUCUCGAAAAGAAAAUCAAAGCUAAUCUAUUCUUCUCUGCAGUUGCUGCUGAAGAAGAAAACAAAAAGCCAAGAAAGGUGUCUGACCCAAAAUUGCAGAAAAGUAAAACUAAGCUUAAAGUAGUGAUAAUCCCUGAAUCCUGCUUUUUCCUCCUUUUUAUAGCCGCCGCCCAAGAGAAGUAAAGAAAAAGACGUCUGGAGCAAUUCAUCUAACAAAAGCUAUCCCCUUUGGAGUUUUGAUCCCACGCUUCGAGUUCACGUGGACCGGGGUCCGGCUUUUCGGUAACGUCUAUCUUUUAAGGCGUGGCCACGCUCUGAGACGAAGGGUCUUCUGGAAAUUUGCCUCCAGAGAUCAUUUUUAAUGCCGACCACCUUUAAUUCGUACAAAUAUGAAAUAUAAGUUAAACCUCAGUACUUAGCACAGUAAUAGCCAAAAUUAGGGCAAAAUAAUACUGCAAAACGUGCCAAAUAACGGCUCUAUCAACCAUGUUUAUGUUUUUUAAAUAAUUAGAUAAAUCACUAAUGUUAGAGGAAAAUGUUGUCUCCAGGUCUUGCAUUAUAUGGCGGGAUAUACACCUUUUUGUUUGAUUAAUUUUUAUGAACUACAAAAAAGUCACUUUUUAUGCAACUAAUUUUUUGUUCAAUUAUUUUCACUAAGUUUUGGGUCACAAUUUGACUAUUUGUUCCGUUAAGGACAUGGAUUUGACAUCAUAAUAAUAAUUUAAAAUAUUAAUAUAAGAAUGUGACGGACAAUAAAAACUUUAUAAGGACAUAAUUUUCAUAUAUGUAAAUUUCGAAGAAAGAAUAGGAAGAAAUUAUAAGGGAGAAAGCAUUGGAAGAAAUUAACUAACCAAAUUGUGAAUGAGUUUGAGUCCAGAACUCCAGAUGAAAUAGUAAACUGUUUUUGUCCACUUAUCUCUUUUAUUGCAAGCAGGGUAGUGGGAGAAAAUUGUGGAUAAUUAACAUAGAGGCCUUUUUUUCAUACUUUUAAAUCCUAUUACUGAUUUCGAAGCCGGGCUCAAUUCAAUGUUUUUUCCUGCUACUCCAUUCUUUUUCUUUGGUAGGACUAAGUUUAAAGAUUUAAUUUAAUUAUAUUAUUUUUUAAAGGGAAAAAAAGGAAUGACAUGUAUUACAUUUUUGUAUAAUUAAUUUAAUUAUGAAUUUUGUGGAAGAAGCGAAGUUUAAAAGUGGCGUGUUUAUAUUAUUGAAUUCGUUUAUCCUGUGAAGUUGAAGUACUAAGGGUCUGUUUGAUAACAUAAAAAAGUGCUGAAUCUGAAUUUUUUCAAACAUUCAGAUAUUUUGGAUGUUUGAUAAAUGAAAAUCCAUUUGCUGAACUUAUUAAAUAGUGCUGAACUUGUGUGUAUUUUUUUCAGCACAAAAAUCUUAGCUGAAUGCUUAAUUCUGAUAAGAAUCAAUAGAAUUACUUCAACUACCUUAUCUUAUCUACCAAAUCUACUCUUGUUUAUUAAUUAUGUUCAAAAUUCUUAUAUAAUUAAACAACCUAUUAUUCUUUAUCUAAUAAUUUUCUAUUUCUCUUUUCUCACUUUUGAAUGACUUUCACUUCUUCUCCAUACUCCUCAUAUAAUAUAAUUCAUCUUUUAUAUUAAUUUGAUUUAAAAAUAAAUAUUGUCAUUUUCAUACCUAACAUUUUUAACUAAUUAAAUCAUAGGUUCUAUUUCUUUUUUGGAUGAAAAGAUAUAAGGGCAAAAUUGUCAAAUUUAACUUAUUAAACAUUUAGUUAUAAAUGUUUAUCAAACGGCAUACAUAGGUUUAGCAUUAAAAUUUAGAUAUUCAUAUAUUUCUUUUUAGUGCUUAAAAUUCAGUAAAUUAAUUGUUUCAGUAUUCAGAUUUCAGAAUUCAGACUUCAAAAUUCAGAAUCAGUUUUAUCAAACGAAACUUAAGUCUUACUACACAGAAAUGAAAUCUAAUAAAAAGGAUGUGAAUAUUGAAUACAAAUUCUGAUGAAUGGUAUAUAAUAAUGUGAAUCUUUUGUUUUGUAGAACAAAAAUGGAAGGUAGCGAAGGCAUGUAUGGAAGACAAUCAAUGUUGAAUUUAAAUGAAUAUCCAAAAGACCCAUAUGUAUAUGUGGAAGAAAAUGGCAAUAGAAAGACUGUGGGCUAAGAAAUUGAGCCAUCACCAAAUUAUGGCUUUAUUUGGAUGGAGUAUCAUUCCAAAUAAUUAUUGUAGCACUUUUUGUGAUGUAAUGUAUAUGAGAUAAAAAAGUGAUUAAAAAUAUAAAAAAUGAAUUAGAAAGUAUGUUUAUGAUGUAAGCAAAAUUUUUUUUUGAAAAAAUUUACUAUUCAAACAUAGUUCUAUGGUUUUGCAACUGGCAACAUAAAUAACUCAAGCCAAAAGUUCUAUGGUUUCCAUUUUGACCCUCAAGAUCAGCAAGCGAACGUAGGCAGGGGAAUGAAUGAUGGCAACAGUCUAAUGCAUGGAGUUUGACUAUAGGAAUAGUGGCCCUAGCAUUGGAAAGGAAUAAACACCAAGCACAAGCCUAUGGGAGAUUAAUUGAUGUUUCAAAAUUUGGGAUCCCACCGCAAAUUAGCAUCUGGCGGGAAGUGAAAGUGCGGCAAUUGUGAAAUUUAUUCCUAGUUUGAACUUUGAAGUAGAACACAAGCCCAUGCAUUUGCAAAAUUUUUUCCCCUAGUGAAUUGUACACGUUUCGAUUUCGUCCAUUUCAUCAAUUUGUGCCCCUUAUAUUACUUUUAUUACAAUCUACAAACAUUAAUGCAAUAUCUUCUAUAUAAUAAUUUAUUCAAACAACUAUAUAAACUAUGUUAACUACAUAUUAAUAAAAUAAUAGAAUUUUGGCUUUAUUUGCUAUAACUAAUAAAAAAAAUUAUGUUUUGGACUAAUCUAAGUUAAUCAUAUACCAUCAUUUUGGACUGAUAUCAUGAUACAAUUAACAUUUUACCAAUGAAUAUAAAUGACUUGUUAUAAAUGACUAUUCAUUUAUAUUGUAAAUGACUAUUUUAUUCUUAUUUUAACAAAUAAAAUAAUAACCACUUGUUAUUAUUUUUCUCAAGCUCAACUAGGCUUGAACUCAAGAUCGAUGUUGAACUUGAGUUUUAAAAUAAAAGCUCAUGGAGUUUGGGAUCGUGCUGGAAGUCAAGAAAAUUGAGUCGAUUCAACCCAUUUUGCAAUCCUAUAAAUGAUAACCUUUUCAUUAAAUCUAUAUGUUUUUUGUAAAUUUAAUAUUAAUAUAUGUAAUCAAAAAGUGAUUGGAAAAAAAAUUAAGUUUUAGACUAAUCUAAGUUAAUCAUAUACCAUGAUUUUGGAUCGAUAUCGUCAUACAAUUAGCAAAGCUAAAUUUUUUUUUAUCUAUUUACCCAUGUUAAAGAAAUAAAUAACAUUUUCUCUAAAACCCACACUUGCAAAUACAAAAUUUAUGUGUUGGAAUACUUUGGCCUUGACAAUUAAAAUUUACUUUUUUGGACUAAUUUACCCCUAUUAUUGAUAGAAUUAAAAGUAGAUCUGCAAAAAGCAAUUUUGGUCUAUAAGUAAGUAAGUUCAUCUCAUCCUAUUCGUGACGAAACACAAGGAACCUAGUUUUUUUAUUAAACUAAAUAUCUAACAUAAAAUCAACCAAAUGUUUGACAACAAGAUUACUCAUCCGAAGAUAAGUAACCACCUCUCAUUUCAUGAAGAGUUCGUUUGGUCCAUCGGAUCAUAUGAUAAUUUGGAGUUAUUUACUUCUAUUACUAUAAUGACAUUUUAUUCUAGCAAGUGCAUCAAGUCUACUAUUUCUCUAUAACAUAAUCUAAUUUGUGAACUAAUUUCACCAUGACUAUAAAUGACUAUCAAGCUAAAGUUGAUAUUAUUUUCUAAAACUUCCUAGAUGACAUAAAACAUUCGAAACUCGAACUUAUAAAUGAAUAUAUUUUAACAAAUUUACGUUAUAAAUGACUAUUUUAUUCUUAUUUUAACAAAUAAAAUAAUAACUACUUGUUAUUAUUUCUCUCAAGCUCAACUAGGUUCGAACUCGAGAUCGAUGUUGAGCUCUAGUUUUACAAUCAAAACUAAUGGAGCUCGGGAUCGUGCUGGAAGUCGAGAAAAUUGAAUCGAUUCAACUCAUUUUACAAUCCUAUAAAUGAUAACCUUUUCAUUAAAUCUAUAUGUUUUUUGUAAAUUUAAUAUUAAUAUAUGUAAUCAAAAAAUGAAUGAAAAAAAAAUUAAGCUUUAGACGAAUCUAUGUUAAUCAUAUACCAUGGUUUUGGACCGAUGUGGUCAUACAACUAACAAAAUUAAACUUUUUAUGCAUUUACCCAUUUUAAAGAAAAAUAUAAUGUUUUCUCUGAAUCCCACUCCUACGAAUACAAAAUUUAUGUGUUGGAAUACAUUGGCCAUGACAAUUAAACUUUACUUUUUUGGACUAAUUUACCCCUAUUAUUGAUAGAAUUAAUAGUAGAUUUGCCCAAAAGCAAUUUUGGUCUAUAAGUAAGUAAAUACAUCUCAUCCUAUUCCUGAUGAAACACAAGGAACUUGGUUUUCUGUUAAACUAAACAUCUAAAGUAAAACUAACCAAACGCUUGACAACUAGAUUACUCAUCCGAAGAUAAGUAACCACCUCUCAUUUCAUGAAGAGUUCGUUUGGUCCAUUAGAUCAUAUGAUAAUUUGGGGUUAUUUACUUCUAUUACUAUAAUGACAUUUUAUUCUAACAACUACAUUGACUCUAUUAUUUUCCUAUAAUAUAAUCUAAUUUGUGAACUAAUUUGACCAUGACUAUAAAUGACUAUCAAGUUAAAGUUGAUGUUAUUUUCUAAAACUUCCUAGGUAGCAUAAAACAUUCGAAACUCGAAGUUAUAAAUGAAUAUAUUUAACAAAUUGAUGUUAUAAAUGACUAUUUUAUUCUUAUUUUAUAAAUGACUAUUUUACCAAUGACUUGUUAUAAAUGACUAUUCAUUUAUGUUAUAAAUUACUAUUUUAUUAUUAUUUUAAUAAAUAAAAUAAUUACCACUUAUUAUUAUUUUUUCUCGAACUCAAUUAAGCUCGAACUUGAAAUUGAUGAUAUUAAAUUAGAGUUUUACAAUGAAAGCUUGCGGAGAGCUCAGGAUCGCGCUGGAAGUCAAAGAAAAUUGAGUCAAUUCAUCUCAUUGUUCAUUCUUGAUAAUGCAUAUUUUUCAUCUGGUGAUGUCCCUAAUCCCUCUGAUAAUGUGUCAAGAAGAAUCCCUCGAUUGCAUCUCAGACGCUUUUGAUGUCUCUAAGGUGCAUCAUAUUAUAUUGAACAACUAGUACUCUUCUUUACUUUUCACCCCAUGUCCUAUUGCUGAGUUUUUGGCUAUAUUAGUUGACAAGUUUUAAUCUGACUUCUUCUUCUAUAUUUUAUUAAUUCCCACACCACUUGUACAAUUUUGAUACUAGACUGUAGAGGCGUCCAAUAGAAUAUCUGUGCCAAUAGUAAAGCUGACGCUGGCCAGAAGGCUGCCACCUUGAUUCUCAUUUUCUUUGCAAUCUCGAGUACCCAUCCCAUUGUCUCAUCAGCAAUAAUGCAUGUGAUUUUGUCACCAUCUGGGAUUGACACCAGUUGCAUUACAGUUGGUGCAUUGUCCUCUUGUGAUAAUGACUAGAGGUAUCUCGGCUGUGCGAGGCACAGCCUUGGCUCCUUUCAUAACUUAAUUGAACAUAUAACAGCAAAACUUUUUGGUACAUAAUAAACAAAAACAUGAGAAAAAUUGAGCAUCAGAAGAAAUUCCAUCUAUGAAGUUAGCUCUUAUAAAUCAAGGAGACAAUAAACAUAGCAUCUAUUAAAUCCAUAACUGAUCUUGAAGUUAAUGAAGGCAAGCAAUGAAACAGGUGCACAGUUGAAUACAAUUGGGAAGGAAGAAAUCUGAUUUUUCUGUGCAACUUUUAGAAACAAUUUAUAAAGAAAUAGAAAAAGAGACUUUAAUUGAUUACAUAAAGGAGCUGUUUAAAUGUAAUAGUUGGUUAGCUACUAAUCAAACAUAAUUAAUCAAUAUCCAAGGAUUAAAAGUUUUUCAUUAAUCUAUAAAGCUUGAUUUUAUAGUCAUAAAUUAGACAAUAUAUAAAAACAAUACAAGUUCUUGUAGUUAUGCAAAAUGACUUGCAAUUGAAAUCUUUUGUCUUAUCCUGUAUGGUAUAUCUUUUGUCUUGAUCCAUCAAGAUAGAAGUAGGGAGAUAAAAAAUAGGAGAAAAAUCAUAGAUUUUUCGAAGGAGAGUUAUGUCAUGUGUCAAGAAAUGGGAGUGCUACAUUAAAUUCCCAUGUCUUCUUAUAUAAUAUGUAGACAAUUAGAACAGAAUGAAAAUUGAUCCAAGGGUUGUAAUGUAGUAUUAGUAUAUUAAAACUAAUCUAAUGGUGAUGAAUUAGACAGUACACUCACUUAAUGAAAUAAUUAAGGUUUAAAAAAUUCAUUGGGCUUAGAAGGGGAAUAAAAGAGCCAGACUUGCUCGGUUUGGCAUGAAGAAAGAGCAGAAAAAAAAAACCGAUAUGCAAGUGGCAAGAAAAACCAUGUACAAGAAAAAUAUUAGAGUUAUGCAACUUGUCAAAUUAUUAGGAGGCCAAGUGGCAUCAAGGGAGGCAAAGAACUAAACCUCCCUUUCUUCUUAUAUAUAAGGUAGAAAAGACAAAUGUUCACAUAUCAAUAAAUUAAAAUAAAAUUGAUUCGAAAGUGUAUAUUCUAUUAGUUGGCUAUUUCAGUUUUGCAUUUAUAAGAAAUUGGAACCAUUUUUUUUUUAUCAGUUUCCCACUUUGAAGAUAUCUCUUUCUUUUCCUCCGAGUUCAAAAAUAGCCAAGAUUUGAUUAAGAAAGUUUAAAUAUUUUUUUAGCAUGUAGAUUAAAAUAAUAAAAUUCUUGCUAUCAGAUUUGGAUAUUUCUUUUAAUUUUUGAAAAUGUGACAAUUUUUCUAUCAUUUUUUGACGGCUUCUAAAAUAGCAAAAGUUAUAUUAACAACGUAGCAAAAAAAUAAAAAAUAUAAACUUAAAAAAAGACGAAUAGAAUUUUAUGAUUUUUAAUAAAGUCAAGUUAAUCUGUGAAAUAUAAGUUUAAAUGAUAUUUCAAAUCAUAAUAAAUGUAUAAAUUCAAAUAAUGAUAAUGAUAAUAAUAUUAUAAUUGGAUUACAUCUGUCCAAGACCUAGAGCUUAAAAUCAAUUUUAAUUUUUUUUUUGUUUUUGAAAAUACGAUGAUCUGAAAAAUACUCUCUCAAAUUGACAUCAUGAUAAAUAUAAAUUGAAAUAAUGAUAAUAAUAAUAAUAAUAAUUUGUAAUUGAAUUACAUCUAUCAAAAGCUUACAAAUUGAAAAAUCCAAUAAAAAUAAUUGGACCUCAUACUUGAAUGUCAAUGCCAGACCAAAUUUGGUCAUUGUGCAAUGCAGUCCAAUCUAUCUAUCCACCAUUGCCUAUAAAAAGAAAAGGAAAGAAUGAAAGCUCAAAAAUUCACCAAGAGUGGCAUGUGUCAACGAGAUAGCAUGCUACAGUAACAGUGCAAUGGCAAAAGAAAGAAAAGAAAUAGAAGGCUUCGGACAAGAGAAGCUUUAGAUUUAGACAAUUUACAAAAAACAUUUUACCUUGCAAGAAACAUUUUACCUUGCCACUUGUCAGAUAAUUAAGAAGCCAUGUGGCAAGAGAAAAGGAAAAUACUAAACCUUGCUCUUUUCUUAUAUACAAGGUAGAUUUGACAACUCUCUUGUGAUCGAAUUCUGUGUUUACGAAUGUAACUCAAAUACCCUGCCUGGCUAAGCACAUAAGGCCAGUUCCAUUAGGAGAAGUACUCAUCACUUGUUGUGAGUAUCAAAAAUUAAUUAUUAGAGACCCGCCAACUUUACCGUCUGGUUCUUCAACAGAGUAUUUUUGAUGAUUUUCACAGUAGCCUUAGAUAUUGAUAUUCAUAGAUGUAGUAAUACAAAAUAAAAGAUCAUUAUUCAUUAAUACAAUCAAAUUGAUCUUCUUCAAAAAAAAUAUAUUUUUUUGCAACUCUUUUUUUUUUAAAAAAAAAAGUGGAAGAACUUGAACCCGAAAUCUCGCACUUACACUCCUUCCCUUCAAAUAUUAUGAUGCACAAAGCUUCCUUUUAAGCAAACAUAUUUAUAAAGAGUUUUAAAAAAUUAUAACUUCAACUUGCAUGAAUUACUUAUGAUGCUUAAUAGCAAGACAAUAGCUAAUGUCGUUUAUUGAGUUGGAUUUUUGCUUCCGCAAUAUCGUUUAUUUCUUCUCUCAAUUCAGUCCCCCAAACAGUCUCUUUCCCAGAUUUCACCUACUAAUUAACUAGUUAGUGUUCUUUUAAUUCAUUCGACUUUGGGUUGUAAACAUUUUUGUUACCAUUAUCACGCAAUCGUUAUUUGUGGAAUGCAUAAACCUCUUGGGAGUUCCCUAAUCGCACCAGCUGAUGACAGAAAAAUAAGUAGGCCUAUCAUUUAGGCUUUUCUAGUAGGACUUCUUGAAGGUGGACUUGUUCCCAUCACAGAAGAUCACAUCUCGGCCGGAAUUUAGUAUAUUUCUGUAUCACUGUCAAGGCCCAAAAUUAGUUCUAUGAAACACUUUUCAACCUAUAUAGUAAAAGCGUGAAUGGGUUCGGUGGUUGCUGUGCUAAUGUGGAUGUAUUUUAUUGGGUGGAAUUUGGUCGUCAAUCACGUGCGCCUCGCGUGCUUACAUUCGUUCUUCGCUCGGAGGAGAAGUAUAAUUCUUGCUUUUGUCUGCUGGGAGGAGGAGUAGAAUUGGUGCUUUUGUCCGAUAGAAGAAAAUGAGCACCAGCUGACCAGCUGAUUGAACUUAUGGCGGUCGAUGAUGGCUUGAUUGAUGACAGGUGUUGGGUGAUGGGCUCAAUGUGGGUUUGCAUGCUUUUACGAUUUCGCCCUUCUUUAAAAAAAAAAACAAGUUCACCGCUUUCUGUUUCUGAGCUUCUUACUUUCCUUUAUCCUUUGUUCAAAUGGGGUUUCGCCUCCGUUCAAGAGAGAUGGCAAAAAAACCCUUUUUGCUCUUCUUUUUUUGAUUGAGAGCACUGAAACCUCUUUCUCUCUCCGUUUGCCUGAGAGAAGAGCGCUCUCUGCCUUCUCUUCCCGAGGACAACCCCAAAUCUCUUUCCUUUGAUUGAAAGGACUGAAACCUCUUUGUUCCUCCAAUGUAUGCAGAGGUAUCUAUGCUACUGGUGCCGCCUUUUCCCCGAGGCAUCAUCAUGGUCCGCGGUAAGUGUGCCUCAUGCUGAUUGUUCUUUCCUUGCCCUUCCUCUGUCCUCUUGUAUGUGCUGCGUUAUUAGCUCGUUUCUUUCUGUUCCCUUCUUUUCUUCCUCGGAUCAGCUGUCUUACUGGCUUCUUGUGUCAAGCUUACUUCUUACUUCCCCUGUUAUUGUUAGCUUUUUGCCUCCUGGUGAGCUUGCUGUCUGCAUUGGCGUGUUUAUUUGAUUUUCUUCCCUCAAUUUUAUGCCCUGGUUUGCUGUUACUGUUGCAUUUUCUGCUUGCUUUGCUUUACUCCUCAUUUUGCUGUUCCUGCCGACGCUUUUGCUUUCCUGCCAACAUUUUUUUACCUGCGUGCUUCGUUUCCGUCCUGUCAACUGUACUUACGGCCCUUUUUCCUUUGUAGCUCCUGUUCUGCCGUGCUUACCUCGUUCAGGUUUGCUUUCCCCACCUUCUGUUUUAUACUUUCUGUCCAUUUCUCAUUGAUUCUCUUAUACCUUUUUCCCUUUUGAUCUCUGCUGCGUAUUAUACCGCAUUUACCCUUUCUCCUUGUCUCUUCUUAAUCUUUUCCCGCCCCUCGUUGGUUUGUUUGGUGCAGGGACAGGUUCUGCCCUCUUUUCUGCUGCUCUACUGUUGGCUGAAUACGCCUUGUUGUGUCUAUCUAACGUUAAGGUAACAUUCCUUGUUCUCUCUUCUACAAAUGCUUAGCUUUUUUGCCUUGCCUGUUAGCUUGCUUCUGCCCACUACCCAUUUGCUUCAUGCUUUCUGCUGCGUCACUUUUUAAAUAUUAUUUUUUGCCUUGCCUGUUAGCUUGCUUCUGCCUACUAACCAUUUGCUUCAUGCUUUCUGCUGCGCCACUUUUAAAAUAUUACAAAGGUAUUCUCAACCAUUUACCUUCUUUAUUCUUAUCUGCUUGGUUUCAUGUAGCUGCCAAAGAACUUUACUUUGCCUUUUCUUUGCUCUGAUUCCCCCCCACCCCCCAAUAAGAAAUAUUUGUUGUGUGCCUUUGUUGUGGCAUUUCUUUACGUUAACCUUUUUUGCUUCAGCUUUAGCCUCCUUUGUGCUUAUUUUGUCGGCUCUAUGCCUGUGCAUUACAUUGAUGCGCUAGCCUUCCUUUCACCUUCUAAGGUAUGUAGUUAUUAGAUCGAAAAAGUGCUCGCUUCAGUGGUGCUGUAUAAGGACUUUGCUUUAGCUUUAAUUUCCUCUGUCUUUUUUCUCCUUUGAUAGUAGGCACUUAAUGCAUACCUUUGUUAUGGCAUUCCUUUAUGUUGGCCUCUUUUCUCCUAAACUUUGGCCUCUGUUGUGCUUAUUUUGUCGGCCCUAUGAUAGUGCAUUAGAGAUGUGUGUGAACCUCUCUUUCGCCUACUAACACAUGUAUUAAUCAAACGGAUUGAAUGCUCAGCUAAGUGGUGCUGCAUAUAAACUUUUCUUUGGCUUCUCUUUCCUCUGUUUUUCCCCCCCUUGAUGACAGCCAUUUAGCGCGCCUUUGUUAUGCCAUUUCUUUAUGCUUGCCUUUUCCCUUGAGCUUAACCCUCCUUAGUGCUUAUUUUUCGCAGUCCUAUAGUAGUGCAUUAGGGGUAUGUGUUAGCUUUUCUUUCAACUACUGAGGUGUGUAGUAAUCAGAUGGAUAGAAAUGCUAUGCGCCGCAAAAAAUAUGGCGAAAUGUCUCCUACAAAGAAAGCCGACCUCCUGCGCUCUCGGAGAGAAGCGAGAGCAGCAAAGAGAGCUGAAAAACCUUUACCUGUUCGCGUUCGCAAGGUUCCUUUAGGCUAUGUGGAAUCUGGUGUGUCGUUGCCAAAUGCUCGUUGUAUGCCUUGCCGUGGUGCAGAUCAGACGUCUGUUCAUUCUCAAUCGUUGGGGAACACAGAUGUUGUGUUUCCCGCUGAUAAUGUCCUUGCGACUGGUGAAGGAUUAGAAUUCAUGUCCGGGCAACUGCUUAGUCCCUUUGGUUCUUCUUCUUCUUCCUCCUUUAACAGAACAAUUCCUGUCCAUAAGCCGCCUCCUGCUGCAGGUAUAUCAACAUUUCUCAUCGUCCGAUCCCUAGGACUGUUUAGCUCCCCCCUCUGAAGCGCCGUUAAACCUUAUUCAUCUCUAUUGGCUGACAUUCCUUCCUUGUACCUCUCAAAUCAAAUCUGCCUCUGUUCGUAACUGCAGACCUUCCGUUCCAUCAUAGCCUUGCGCCGGUAAAAUAUCAAAGGUCGUCUAAUGGUGCGGACCCAACAAAAAUCCCUGUUCAUUCUACUGAUUGCCAAGUCAGUGCUGGAUCAAGUAAAGGAGUCCCUAAGAACAUACUACCCUUUUCCCCUGAAAAUGAACACUUCAUGAACAAUGAACAUUCUGAAAUUAUGCUUGGCUUGUUCUCCUUGAAUUCAACUCUUAUCAACUCUGAACAACCAGUCCAGAAACAUCUUCCUUGUGAAAGUAAUUCUUUCACUACUCCAUUUUCAGAUUCUGUUUUACCCCCUCCUGGCACAGGUACUGCCUUACCUUGGCAUAUUCAUUGUCUUUGUAUCAUUGCUGCACUGCUUCGACCAGGCUGUAAAAAAAUGAAUACUCAUCUUUAUAGCCUGGUUUCUGAGACCCUUUGCCCUUUCUCCGACGUGUCCCUUUAAGGGAUUUUGGGCUAUUUUUGAAUGCUUAUUUGGUCCUGGAAAGUAUGUCGUCGGUUGUGAACCAGCAACUGGUCAUUUGGAAAUAGGAAGCAGGGAAGCAAAUCCUUCUACUUCUCCAUCUUUUAGCCGACCUCGUAGCAGGAAACGCAAUGCUCCUGGAACUGUAGCCAACCAGAAAUCAGGUUGUCAUCAGUUUCUGAUCUCCCUUGGUCGUUGACUCCCUUAAACUCAGAUUUAUCUAUAUAUCCAUCCAGCGCUAAUAGAGACACUUGUAUGUAAAAAAUAAAACUGCAGCGAUAGAACGAACACCUUCAUCUUCGUAUCUAUCUCGUCUUGCCAAUAUUCCUUCUUCAUCUCUGGUUCUACCAGAUGCUCCUGAUUGUGAGCACUGUGGAGCGAAGAGGUUCCAUUUGGAGCCUCCUACAUUUUGCUGCUCGGGAGGAGAAAUCUCUAUCGUCGCUCCUUCAAUGCCUUACGAUCUGAAACGUUUGUUCAUUGGCAACGAUGAAGAGAGUGCUCAUUUCAGAAACAAUGUGCGCACUUAUAACAACAACCUGGGCUUCACAACCUUUGCUGCGAAGUAUGACUCUGACCUAACAAAGAACACAAAAGGUGUUUAUACCUUCCGUGUUCAGGGCCAGGUCUACCACUUCCUUGAUGGCCUUAUUCACUUGGGCGAUAGACCAUCUGGCAUCCAAUUAUAUUUCUUUGACACUGAUGAAGAAUUAGCAAAGAGGCUUGGUAACUCUGAUAAGCUGCGCGAACACACUUUAAGAUUACUUAUGCGCGUUCUUUCUAAUAAUCCUUAUACUCGCUUCUUUAAAAGCCUUAAGGAUGUUCCGAACAUUGACAACCUAAACAUUGUCCUUAAUUGUUAUCCUUCACUUGACCAGCGCGUGUAUAAUCUUCCCUCUGCCUCUCAAGUAGCAGCUAUAUGGACUGAAAGUGAAGAUCAGUCAUCUGAUAGGCGCGCUCAUAUUCGGGUCUAUUCUCGCUCAGCUGGUAGCCAUAGGAUCCAGCAUUAUUAUGGUUGUUAUGACCCUUUACAGUACCCUCUCCUUUUCCCCCGUGGUGAGUGUGGUUGGCACCAUGGAAUUAAGAGACUUCACAAAAGGAAAAGAGGAGGGGACUCCUGUGAAAGUGAUAUUACCCUUGAUCCAGCUUCAGUUAGAUCCUCAUCAGAAUUAAUAGAUUUAGAACAGAGAGGCGAGUACAUUUCUCCCUUGUUAUAAGUUACUCAAUCCAUCCGUUGCAUUAUAUCAUCUAAUCAUGUCCAACCUAUUUUUCGUCUUUUAGCUGCUGAUCGAGGCAAAACAGAGGCUGAUACUGUAUCAGUUAGGGAGUACUACUAUUAUAGGUUUCAAAUAAGGGACACUGAUGAGUCAAUGUUGUUACACACCCUUAGAUUGCUACAGCAGUUUUCGGUUGAUGGUUAUGUCAAGAUAGAAACAUCUAGGCUUGACUUCCAUAGACAUCGGCAAAACAAGAUACGCUCCGAAAUUCUUCAAGGAGUUCUUGAUAGUGUUUCGAUUGGCCAAACUGCUGGUUCUAAGGUUGGUCGUAAGGUCAUCUUGCCUGGUUCCUUUAUAGGUGGGCCGAGGGAUAUGCGUCGUCGCUACCUUGAUGCGAUGGCGCUGGUCCAAAAGUACGGAAAACCGGACAUUUUCCUUACAAUGACAUGUAAUCCAGCAUGGAAAGAGAUUCAAGAGAACUUGAAAUACCAUGAAAAACCUCAAGACAGGCCGGACCUUCUAGCCAGAGUUUUUAGAUCCAAGUUUGAAAUGCUUAAAGCAGAGAUCCUGAAUAGGCAAAUCUUUGGCGAAGUUGCAGCGUGUGUUUAUGUGAUCGAGUUUCAGAAACGGGGAUUUCCUCAUGCCCAUUUAUUAUUGAUCUUAAAGCCUGGUCAUAAGCUACUUAACCCGGAGUCAUAUGACAAAAUAGUUUGUGCUGAGCUGCCCGACAAAGAUCGCUAUCCUCACUUGUAUUCUCUCGUUAUCAAACAUAUGAUCCAUGGUCCUUGCGGGGCCAUGGAUAAAUCUUGCCCUUGCAUGAGAGACGGAACCUGCAAAAAUCGCUAUCCAAAAAACUUUUGUGCACAAACAACCCAUGGUGAGGAUACUUAUCCAUACUACAGAAGAAGAGACGACGGCAAGAGUAUCAAAGUUCGCAGAUUUACUCUUGAUAAUAGGUGGGUUGUGCCUUAUAACCCUUACCUACUUGCUUUAUUUGAUUGCCACAUCAACGUGGAAAUCUGUUCAACUCUUAAGCUCGUGAAGUACUUGUAUAAGUAUGUUUUCAAAGGACAUGAUCUGGUGAGCUUUAAGAUUAUUUCUUAUGAAUCAGUCAAUGAUAUUGAUGAAAUAAGAGACUUUCAGAAAGGUAGAUGGGUUUCACCUCCGGAAGCUUUUUGGCGUAUUUAUGAAUUCAAGCUCAAUGAAAUGACUCCAGCAGUUUACACUCUUCAAGUUCAUCUUCCAGACCAGCAGCUUGUUUCCUUCGACAAGAAUUCUGACCUGUUGCAAUUACUGAACAAAGUUGAUUUUUCUAAAUCAAUGUUAACUCAGUUUUUCCACAUGAAUAGAACAAAUCACAGAGCACAAACCCUGAAAUGCUUCUAUAGAGAUUUCCCUGAACAUUUUGUUUGGUCUCCUAAAUAUAAGGAGUGGACUGAACGAAAGCGUCGAAAAGUCAUUGGCCGGAUGGUGACUGUUAGUCCAAAAGAAGGAGAGAGAUAUUAUUUGAGGUUGCUUUUAACUCACAUUGCUGGGCCGACGUCUUUUGAAGCCCUUUUGUCUGUUAACGGGCAAAGAUUAGCUUCGUUUAGAGAGUCUGCUUUAGCUCUCGGCCUUCUGCAGUCUGAUGCAUACAUAGAGGACACGCUUCGGGAAGCAGUGGCAUUCCAAAUGCCGUCCUCAUUGCAUUUAUUGUUUGCCACUCUCCUUGUGUACUGUUCUCCGACGAAUCCUAGAUUGCUUUGGGACAGCUUUGAACUUGACCUUUCUGCCGACUACCAUCACCAGCAACCAUUCCAUCGCCUUUCUUCUCUUGAAAUUAAAAGAAAGGUUUUGCAGGAUAUAAACAGUUCACUCGAACAAAUGGGCAAGAGCCUUGCUGAAUUUCACUUUGUCUCCAAUGAAUUUACAUCCAGUUAUGUUGAAAGGCUAACAAAGGAGAUUGAGAGUGAAAAAAGCUUACCCGUAGAUCCUGAGGAUCUGUUGUUGUCUCACAAGUUGAACCCUGAGCAAAAACAUGCCUAUGAUCUAAUUCUGAGAGCAUGCUUUUCCUUACAAGGACAAGCUUUUUUCAUUGAUGGCCCCGGCGGGACCGGAAAAACUUUUCUGUAUAGGUCACUCCUCGCCACCUUGCGCUCACAGAACCAUGUUGCAAUUGCAGUGGCAACAUCUGGAAUUGCAGCAUCGAUCCUUCCCGGUGGAAGGACAGCUCACUCGAGAUUCAAGAUACCGCUUGAUUUCUCGAAAACUAAAACUUGUCAGCUUAGUAAACAAAGCUCAGCUUCAAAACUCCUUUUUGAAUCUACCCUUAUUUUGUGGGAUGAAGCUUCCAUGGCUAAGCGGGAAACAAUUGAAGCAUUUGACGAAUUGCUAAAAGAUUUAAUGGAUUCAGAUUUGCCUUUUGGAGGAAAGGUUGUUGUUUUCAGCGGCGAUUUCCGACAAACUCUGCCAAUCAUUGAGCAAGCGACUAAGGAAGUUCUCAUAGAAUCGACCUUCCCCGUUUCUCCCUUGUGGUCUAAACUACACAAAAUCAGGCUCACAAAAAACAUGCGAGCUAUGCUUGAUCCAGGCUUUUCUCAAUUCCUUUUAAGAGUAGGAGAGGGGACAGAACCUGUGGACGAUCGAGGCGAGAUAACUUUAUCCCCAGAUAUAGUUAUUCCUUAUGUAGAUAAAGAGGUGUCUUUGAAUAGGUUAGCUUGCCACAUCUAAUCAAAAUCAGCCGUUUUUAUAGUUAUUCCUUCUACUGCCAUUAUUAAUGAAUAUUUUUAUGUACAGGUUAAUAGAAAGUGUUUUUCCAGAUCUGGACUUCUAUACCCAUGAUCCUUACAACCUGAUAAAUAGAUGCAUCCUUGCUCCUAAAAAUAGCUCUGUCGACGAGCUCAAUGAAAUGAUGAUUAGGAAGUUUCCUGGAAACCGUCAAACUUACAUUAGCUCAGACAAGACUGUAGAUCAACGCCACCAAAGCGAUUAUGAGGACUUCCUCAAUUCGCAGAAUCCUAAAGGUCUCCCUCCUCAUAAGUUGUUGUUGAAGAAAAACUGUCCAAUAAUGCUUCUAAGAAAUUUAAACCCAGCUGAAGGUCUCUGCAAUGGAACAAGGUUGAUAUGCAGAGAUCUCGCACAACACACAAUUUCUGCCGAGAUUGUUUUUGGCCAUCACAGAGGAAAAACAGUUUUUAUUCCAAGGAUACCUCUUCAGUCGCCUGACAACGAUAAGAAUGGGAUUCCAUUCAUGCGAACGCAGUUUCCUGUCCGCCUUUGCUUCGCCCUGACCAUCAAUAAAUCACAGGGUCAAACACUUGACUACGUCGGCAUCUAUCUACGAGAACCAGUUUUUUCUCAUGGACAGUUGUAUGUUGCUUUGUCCAGAGCUAAGACUGCCGCUAAAGUCAGAAUUCUUCUUGUUCCUGGAACAUUUGAAGGCACAAAAAUAGAUUGCAAAACUCGGAAUGUUGUCUGUCAUGAAAUUUUUAGAUUAACCCAGGAAUAGAUCAUUUUCUACUGCGAUCAUGCUGCGGCAAGGUGUUAUUCAGCUUUUUAAUUCUUAGAUAUUGUGUUCUUGGAUAUUUUAUUCGUUUCACUUACGCAGCAACUUAUGUGUUUAUAGGAUGGCUAACUUGCUGCCGAUGCGGGAUAUUGUGCCUCAUAUGAAAAAUUGGAGCUGCGACAUCACUGUUCAAGAAAGGCAACAGAUAACCAGCUCAAUGGGAACACCGACAAAGAAGCAAAAGUUUGUUUUCUACGAUUCAGAAGUUAGUCAAAACUAAUGCUCUGUUUUAGAAGUAAUUAGUUAAGUAGGUUGUUCUCUUGCUUUCUUAAUCUUGUGUUUCUUUUGCUGCUUUAAAUAGGGGACGAGGGUCGAAGGAAUCAUCUUCAAUGAUGACAUUCCUAGAAUGAGUCAGAUCUUGCAGAUUAUAAAAAGUAUAGAAUCUCCAAUGCUGAAGUCAGACCUAUACCAGCAAAGUUCCAGACGUUUGGCCUUACAGUUCAAUGGGUAAUCAGUAGCAGGACUGUCAUUGACAAAAUUCCUGAUGAUGAUGAAGUCAUGCCUGUGAGUUUCUGCUAUUCAAAGUUUACUGAUUUAGUUCAGUACAUGGAUGACAAAACUAAAUCAGUAGGUGAGUGCUUCAAUGCUUUACUCUUAAUAAGUUUACAUUCUCAAGACCGUUUUUUAUAAUCAGCUUCUCUGUGUUAUUCAUAGACGUGCUGGGAGUUGUCAUUAGUGCACUUGAGAGGAAAACAAUUACUAAAAACUCAAGGCAAUCAGAUGUUCAGAAAUUUGUUCUGCUUAAUGAAGAGUAAGUCCUUUAAACUCCAGCUUAACCAAAGCUUCACAUUGCGCCUCCUGCUCUUUCUCUGCAACCAUUUUCCCAAUCUGUGACUGUUAACUUUGAUCCCAACUACAGAUCACACACUGUCCUACUGUCUCUAUGGGAUACCUUUCUAGCUAAUGAGGGAGAAGACAUACUAUCUAAGCUUCACAGCUAUCCUGUGAUCAUUGCUCGCAGAGUCAAAGUGAAUAACUAUAAUGGUUUGCUCCCAACAUUUAUUUUUUACCUUUUCACUUACGUUUAUCCUCCUAUAGUCAUCUGCAACCCCUGUAAAUCUUUCUCCAUUUCUUUUUGCCAUAUAGGGGUCGCACUAGGUACUUGGUUUGAUUCAGCGAUUCUUGUUGAUCCACCUAUACAAGAAGCCAGGGAACUCAAGAACUGGUACAAUAUAUUUACAGUCAUCAUUCUGUACAGAGUUUAAAUGGAAAAACUGUCCUGCCUUCCAGUUCUAACAUUUUUUAUGUCUCCUUUGGCCCAGGGCCUUGAGAAACACUGACUUGAUUAAAGAGCUUGUUGAAAACAAGGCCUAUAUUAAAUAUAAUCCACAGCUGUCAUUAAAAUCAGACCAGAAAACUACUUGGAUUUGUAACAUAACUUCAUCACAAAAGGUCUGUCACCAGCAACUGUUUACCUCCUUUUGUACUUUUCCUCAUGUAUGAACACUUUUUUCGACUCAUGCUUGCUGGUCUUUCAGACUAUAUGGGUGAAGGCGCAGAUCUCUUUUGAACACAUCUUCCAAAAAUAUUGGUACAUGAGCUGUAAAAACUGUUGCCGAGCUACAUCAGCAGGCCAUGAAGUUGUGUUUACAUGUAACUCGUGCAAAGAGAAACAUCCUGCAGUUCCUAGGUACUAAAUAAUAUACGUUUCAUGUAUUGCUUUCUAUUCGCUAUUAUCUAAUACUGAUCGAGUCAAUAAAUGCCUCCCUGCAUACUGUGUGCCCCUUUUCAGAUGCCGCUUUGAUGUUGAUUUGACUGAUAGCACUGGUGUGAUACCGGCUUCAUUGUUUGGCGAACUAGCAGAGAAGCUAUUAACAUUUAAUGCGCUAGAAGCAAUGCAGCAUUUUAAUGAGGUUCUUACCUCGUAAAUCUUAAUACUAAAGAUAUUAUCCAAUUUUUACUCUUAUUUUUUGUUUUCUUAACAGAAUGUUGAGCUGCCACUCGAGUUUGUCCACAAUGAGCUCAAAUCAAAAAACUUUCUCCUACACAUCAAACCUGUACAAGCACAGCUGGCCGAUGCAAGGCAGCGUUACACGAUUAUAUACUACUCUGAAAUUCAUGACGCUACUGAUUCUGUCCAGUUAGCAAUGCAAACAAAAGAUGACUCUCCUUUUCCUAGCAAAGAUUCUGACACCAUACAGUUAGGGACUCCAGGUAAAGAACCAGAUACCUGAUUUCUUUUCUACACUUAUCUGCUAAAUUUAUGCAUAUCAUGACAUGUCACAAAUUUAUGAUCACAGGAGAGAAUAGUGCUCGUUCAAAGAUUUGUGUUCGACUUUCUGAUAGGUUUGAUGAACCACAAAACAUUGACCUGGAGCAAGAUGGAAAUCCAGAAUGCAGCUCUAACAAGAAGCAAAAACUGAACUAGGUUGCUGCUGCGGCCUCUUGCAUCCACCUGAUCUUUACGUGUUGGAACUAACCUGGUGUCAUCUAUUUUUUCCAAAGUUUCUUUUCCAAUCUUACAAGGCUUAUUUAAGUGCCAACGAAGGAUGUGUUUUUGUCCAUGGAUACCCCUUUAACUUCUUUUGUUCUACGGCCUUUUGUCUUUGCUACUAAGCUGCAAUCAGCAAUAACUAUGUAUCUAGAUUGGUGCGUUACAACUGUUAUGUACUUGUUGCAGUAGCCUUUAAAUUCAACCUCUGUUGUGUUCAGUUUAUUAAUUGCCCUCCUGGUGGAUGUGAUAUUUCUUGUGCAUCAAUUUUUCAGAAUGCAUUCCUCAGAACAUAUUCAAGUCUUCCCCUUGGCAUAACUCUCUUAUUAAAUAUCACACCUGCUUUAUCACCUGAACUUACUCUUCUCACCAGCUCAGCCUCCGGGAUCUAUUAUCCGUAAAAUCUGUAGUUGCUCAGGCUUCAAUAAAUUUAAGGAAAAACAACUUUUCCCUUUGUCCAACCUUGAAUAACUUUAAGAAAGACAGACAUGACAGAUCAUUAAGCCAUUUGCUUGCGAAAAAAUGGGAGCCAGACUAAAUAUAAAAACCUUUAUUACCAAAAAUAAAAAACUAUUAGCCAUCCAUUCUUUAUAUAUACCUGCUACUUAAAUAGAGUAUACAUUCCAAGCAAAUCACUGCAACAAGUUAACUUUUCCGCUUCUUUCCCCAGGUUAUCCCUACCAUUUGCCACUUUUCUUUACCUGCGUAUAGUUACAUCUUUCCUGGUUUUUUUAAAAAUUAACUUCUCUGAUUAGAUCGAUGGCAGAAGAAUUAUCCACCCAUGGAUUGACAAACAGCAGCUCGAUAGCCUGUUGUUUUCUGCUUAAAUGCAACCACAGAGGAGAGGUAUAAUCAUUCGUUCGUGUGCUGGAAAAUGCAUGUUGACGAUAUACAGCCAAUUUACAUAUAUUCAUUUAACAUUUCCUAUUCGUAUCUCUAAAUACACAGAUUUUGCCCGCUGAAUUCAAGCUAUUACUAAAUCAGCACCGCCACAGUACAAUCAUUCUCAGGCAUGGAAUUCAUAAAUGGCCUGUUGUCGUCGGCGAUCGUUCAUUUGAAGAAGGUUGGGAUGAAUAUUGCCAUGAAAAUGUCACAACCAGACAUGAUAUGUUGCUUCUACGGCAUAUCGGCAAUCUCGUCUUCGAUGUCAUUCAUUUUUCCGAGCUGCAACAACAAGUUUACCUAUCUUGGACAGUUCCAUUGCCAAGUUUAUUACAAUCUGGUGCUGACCCUCCCCAAGGUCAGUUUAUGCCUCGCUUUAUAUCAUGUUGUUACUUGUACCAAAUUUCUCCCUAAUUUAUUAUCUACUGGAUACCUUCUCAUCCUGCAGAUUCUGUGAUGCUUCAGCAGUCGGUUGCUUCAUCAAUGAAACCCAAUUUAGCCCAAAACCUCACUGACUCGGUUUCCUUCUAUCAAACCUUUCAUGCAGCAACUCCAAACACAUUGGUAACUUAUCCUUGAUCUAUUUCUUUCUCCUCCUCUUACUACAUUGCUAUAAACAAGCUCUAUACAUUAUGUACUCGGAACUAACUUUCAUCCAUUUCUAUUAGAAAAUCCCAAGAUUCGUCGAUCGCUUUGUUAAUGAACAAAGAACACCGACGCUUCUCAUUAGGACUGGAGAAAAUCUCACAGAGAUUGGUGUGAAAGGGAAAAAGUUAAAAAAAAAUUGGAGAAACUUCGUCCUCCAGCAUCGAUUGCAGCACAAUGAGAUCCUUGUGUUUGUUCCAGAAUCAGCAACUACCUUCACAGUUUUAAUAUUUGAUGAUCGUGGAGUCGAGAGGGUCUUUCCAUGGUCUUGCAUCUUCAGAAUUUUUUCUAAUUGUCCUAUUUCUACCUAGAUUAGGUAGUAUGGUUUUCUCUGUAAACAAAAUUCGCUUUUCUCUUGAAGCUUUUUAUCAAACAUGGUCGAAAUUUUUUCCCCUUCGAGCGCACUAUACAUUCUUACUAAAUAUAACUGAUUUGCAAUGAAUUUAUGCAUGCGGCAACAACAUUUCAAAUACGUAACAUCGCUCUUUACCGCUAAUUUUCUUCGCAUACGCAGUAAUUAAUUUUAUUGACUCUGGCAUGAAACACAACUACACGGACAGAUUUCCACCUUUCAAUACAUCAACUGCUUAAUUCAUUCUCCCGACAAUAACUUCAUUUAGGAGACAAUUCCAUUCGCUGCAAAGAAACAAUACAUUUCAAUUGUGAGACAUUUCCAUAGAAUAAACAAUAUGCAAACUAUUGAACAGCAUCAGAGUCAAUUCUUAUUGUAAAUUUAAAAAACAACGGAAAUUAUCAACCUUCCACAAGAAAAUAGAAAAAAAAACCCUUUGUUCAUUGUUUAAUAAUUUUAGAUCUCACAUUUACUUCUCUCAACACUUCACCACGUCUCUACAUCAAACAAAACAAUCCUGAUAAACUUCAAUUUUACUCGCCUCCAUUUUUCCUAUUCAAUCUUUUCAACAGCAUGUUGAAUGCAAACUUUCAUUUACUCACGUUUUUUCUUGCACCAUUGCUUACUUCAAGGGUUAAUCAUUUUUUAACCAACUAACUCAGACACAAUACAUAUACUUUAUGAUAUUUUCGCUGGUAAAACUGGGCAUUUUCUGGGCAACAUGGAAUUAACACCGCGCAUCGCGCGGUGAUCCCCUCCUAGUAUACUUUAAGCUAUGGUCAAGAAAGGCCAGCCGUUUUGAACUUGUGUCUGAAGACAAGCAGUGCACCUUCAAAAAAAAAAAAAAACCAGUGCUUUAAUAAACAAAUCGUUUUGCAUUAAUUAAAUGUGUAUUGGAACUGGUAUAAAAUAUGAUUUACGGAAAACAUCUCUUUAGUAUGGCCUCGCAUGAGAUCCCAUCAGACCACUUUCAAUUGUGAGUUAGAAAAUGCAAAAACAAUGGCCAUUAUAAUAAGUUGUUUAAUUUGAAUAAUAUGCCUGAAAUGAAUAAUCCUACUAUUGUAUGAUAGGAAACUUGGGCUGUAAGUACCAACUGGUGAUAUUGGAAUCAAUGUGUAGGGCUAAACUCAACAUACCUCAAGAUAAAAAAAAAAAAGGUUUGAAUUUUCUUAAGAUGGGCUGGACCAAGUUGAAAAUGGUUCUUCAAUGGGUAAUGUUACAAUAUUGGCUGCGAGAAGGUCUACAAAUGGUCUGGGACUUUUGGUGGUUGUCAUGCUGUAUUUGAAGCUGAUUCCCUCUUGGCAAUAUAUUUUGUUAACAACGCUUUAGCUAAUCAUACUUAAUAUAAUCUUAUAUGUAAAAGACAUGAGAAAAUCGCAGAUGGGAUUGUACUCUUUCUUAAUUCUAGAGAGAAGGCAAAACGUAAAUGGAUGUUUUGACGAAAUUUAUUUAGAAUUCACAAUGAUGCAUGACCUUGGUAAAGGUGACAUUACAUGAAAACUUGUUGAGCAUAACAUGCAGCAGACAUCUAAUAAGUAUGUGAUUUGGCUUCGGCCUUCACUUCAUUGAAAAAAAGAAGGUUCAGCCCUAUGAAUAAGACUUUCGGGCAACGUUUUGCUUUAAGUAUGCGCAUACCUUUGGCAUAAUAUUGAUGGAACGUUUAAAAGAAUGAAGCCUAGUAGUCUAGUGUUCAAAGAAGAUUUCAGCCAAAAGUGUUGGGUAGAAGACUUUCUGCGUAAAGGAGCAAUUCAGGUUGUAGAUGCCAACUUGCUCAAGCCCGAGGUUGAGCAUCUAAAUGAGAAUUUAGAAAGACAAAAGAAAUUUUUAACUACAAUGUGAAGGAUGAAACAAGUUAUUUUCUCAUGUUUAUAUUGACGUCAAAACAACUUCAGUAUGUUACCAGUGCAUUCAGUUUCAUAUUAACUGCAAUUCCAUAUGGCAUUCCAUUCGGAAUAAUGGUAUGCGCUGAGUUUCUAUGUGAGGAAACAACUUCCUAUCAAACUUCUGAAACUUGAGGGAUGAAGUUCUGGGCUCUAGGCGAUAUCAAAUCCUACUGAAUAUUCCUGAUUUUGGAGGAAAAGAAAAAGUGGAAAUAAGAAACAUUUAACACCAGAUUAUAUUGUGUCAGUGAUUGGCAAUGGAGAUUCCACUUUUACAUGGUUCGAAAAUUAAUGGCACCCUCUGUUGCGGAAAUAUGGCCGUACUAUAGUGAGGCAGUUUGGUAGUAUUAAACUGCCAAUGGGAAGAAGAAAGGGAUGAGACUGUGUCUUUCUUCAUUAUGCCAGCAGUGUUAUGACCUGCCUUUAUCAUGAGUUAUGUGUAGAAAUAUCGAUUGGAUACUAAAGACAGGUUGAUAAGGUGGGGCGUCAUUGCUGAUCAGUGGUGUCCAUUGUGUAACCGUUUGCUGAUUUCUUCACUGCUCUUAUUCAACUAUUUGUCAGUUAACCAUCUUCCUUGGUUAGUUAACUAUUCCUGUGUUCCAUAUCGAGACAUUGUCCCAGAAAUCAAGCUAAUUUGCUUUAUCUGCCACAAUACUGCUACAUUGUGGCUGAGAUAAAGUCCCCAAUUCACUUUCGGAGAAGACUUGGGACUCCAAUUAUUGAAUACUUGAAGUGUAAUCGUUGUGCUGACUUGGACUUAGACUUUUCAAUAAGCUGGCACAUAUAUUAUCGAUAUGAAUGUAAUAAAGAAAAGAUGGAUAUCUUCUUUUUUUUUUUUUUUUGGAAUAAAAAUUAGUACAAAUACCUUUGCUCUACAAGUGCAAUCUCCAUCACUCAUGUUUUCUUAAGGAAGAACAUAGGCAGGGGAUUCCUUCCGACCAUGCCCUGCCCGUCCCCUUCUUUCCCAGCCCCAUUUGGCCCCCGAUGGGUGAAUGCUAUCGCUAUUAUCUCAGUCUUUGCAUCCUUCGUAUUCUUGUCUCCUUUCGAUGAAUAAUCUAAUUAAGAACCAACUUUAUUUUAAGUAAUGUACAUCCAAUCUCAUUUUGCAUGUUAAAGACUUAAUUUGCAUCCUUGAGCUAGCAAAACGUCCCAAAUUACCUCAUUUCUAAGCACUCUUGAUAGAAAUAGGUGAAAUUAAUGUGUAUGUACAAUAUUUUUCUUCAUUGACAAAGGAGAGUAGCUUUAUUUUUUUUCCUAGCAAGGUUGACUCACCCCCUUUUUUUUAAUGAUAAAGGAGAGCAGUUGGGAUGUGCAUAAUCCUAAGUUUCCAUACCUCUCUUAAUAGUGUGAAAGAUUGGGAUGCGUCAGUAACUUUAGAUUGUGAAUUAGUUAGCAUUCAAUUUUAUGUUAUUUGAUUUUAUUAUUAUUAUUAUUAUCUUUUUGUUCAAGAAAGAUUCUAAAUCUUACAAGGAUUAAAAAAAAAAAGAAUUUGAGAGUCAAACUAAAGAUCUCGCGACAUUUUUAUUAAUGUUGUUACCAAAUUGAGUUAGGUCAUGAAGACGUACGUGCGCAAAUAUAAUUUGCAAAGCAAGAGUAUAAUAAUACUAUUGUUUGUGAAGUUGCACCAAAAAAAAUAGAAAGGUAAAAAUUAAAUUGAUCAAAACAUUAAGGAUACAGAGUGGAAUUAGGGCAAAUUAGAAAUUGCAAGGGAGAGGGUCGCAGGGGUUGUAGUUUUGAACUUUGAUCCCCUAUAAAUUUUGAGAAAUACUUUUGAAGUCCUCCUCCUCGCUGCCAUAUAAUUUUGGGAGAAGGCCCAAUUGACUUCCGCCUCGCUCCCUCCCCAAGCUUUUGCUUUAAGAAAAGCUCUUAAAAUUUACUCGUCAAAUGUUCUUAGAUUUUGCAUUUGGCUAUAGUUGGUCCACUUUUUAUAACUUUUGUUCCUCAUUUUGGACAAUGCUCUUUAAUUGAUUUAGUUUGUGAAUUCUCUUGGAUAAAGUAUUGCAUUUUAAUAUAGCAACUAGAUCUAUUAAUAGUUGGUCUUCCUUUUGUACAAAUUAUCUCAAAUAAUUGAAAUUGCAAUUGGUCGGAAUUCGUUGUCGUGAAAACCUAUAAGAUAUAUAUGAAGAUCAUUUAAUCCAUCCUUUCUAUUUAAGAUUUGAGAUUGACUUACUUUCCAAAAUUAGAGAGUAUAGAGCAACUCAUUUAUAGCUAUAUAAAGUGUUUGUAUCUCUUGCUUUAUUUGCAGUCAUCUUGUGAUGACAAGAAUUUUCUUCUUCCUUGUCUUCUUUUGUUAAUUUUGUGUAAACUCCAAGACAUCUUCACUUCAACGUAACCACCGAGUUUUGGAUCAAUAGCCGCAAAAUAGGAAUUAAAUCCCUUUUUGGCCUAUUGUGAAAAAAAUUCAAAGGAAGUGUCAGAAUAUUUCUUUAGUCUAGUUGGAUCUGUAUACUUGCUAGUCCCUUGUAUAGUUUCUUUAGACUCCUCUUCUUGUAGAAUAAGAUUAGUUUCUAAGAAUGUUAUCAUUGCAGCAAAAAAAAAAAAAAAAAAAUUCUCUUCAACAUACUUCUACAUGUCAUCAAAUGAAGUUAAAAGAUAGGAAGCAAAGAGUUUUUACUCACUUUCAAUUUGCUUCUUACAGGACUAUAUUUGAAUGAGUGGGAACAAAAAAAAGAGAGAUAAGUUUGUAUUACUAAAUGUGAAUGGUAACCCUGGCAAGGUACCCUUUUGUAUUUAUAGUCACCAAACAACCUUGACUGUGGCACCAUCUGCAAUGAAGACUGAAACUGAGGAAAACGAUUGAAUGAUGAAUUUAAGCAAUACAAUUUCAUAGAUUUACGUCUAAGAUCAGCAAAAUUUGUUUGUACGUCUUUCGCCUUGAUUGGGAAGAUAAGUAUAAAAUACAAAAUAGUGUUCUGUGUUGAAUGGGAAGAUAAUGUUCCGAUUAUGUAGAAAAAUGGUAUUGUAUUGUCGUUGUACAUCCCAAAGUCUUGGUUAACUUGGUUUGUCCUAGCCCAUUAGUCCAGAAUACACGUUGAAGACUUGUAACAAUGUCAUGGAGAAAAAACAGAUGAACAGAAAAUGAGUUGAGAGAUUGAGUGCAACCGAAAGUGAGUUGAGAGCGAGUGCUCAAUAUAGCCACAAAACUUGGAGUAAUGAACGGUUGUUCAUUUCGAAAAUUCCUGUAUGGGAGAACACAAGAUACAUAUAAUGUAACUCAAUGUUGAGACUCCUAGAUGUUUUCUUAAAGAUCAAAAUGUGAAAGAAAAGGUAAUCCAACUAUUUGUUUUAAGUGUAAUAUGCAUCUUUUUAGAGAAAUUUCUAAUAUUAUGAUGAUUUUUAAAAAAAUUCUACAAAGGGGCAUUUUGUGUAUGGGAUUCUGUAAAAGGGUUGUUCGCAUUUGUCAAAUGCGAGUUCCUUGAGCUCGCAUUUAUCAAAUGCGAACUCUUCUGAAUUUUCCAACGACCGACAUACAAAAAAAAGAAAA